CUCUUUUUUUCCUCUAUCUUUUUUUUCUCCCUCUUUCCAAGACAAACUAGAUAAGAUGCAGAUUGGAUCAGGCGAAGAUGUGAAUGACCUCAACUAUGAUUAUGACAAUGAACAGUGCGUAGCACGUGGUGGAAAUUAAUGGAUGGAAUGGUGGACAGCGGAAGGGAUAAUGAUGCAGCUGCGGCGUGACUAAUGUGAACAGAACUCGAAACUCUAAAGGAACUAGACACUAAGACCAGCAACUAACACGACGAUGCAACCGAUAAUUCAACUAUGCAAGCAAUGAAUAGAAAAUUGCAAAGGCUCGGACUGGCUUGGAUAAAUGAUGAACAGAUCUAACUUUUUUAUGGCUUUUUCAUGGACUGUAGGUAUGAAUGACAGAUGCGAUCUAAACUAUGAAAAAUCUCACCGAGCAACCUGAAAACUGAUACCACUUGUGAUAGAGGCAAAGGUGUCCCGUCUUUCGAUGAGAUGAUGGAUAUCGCUUUGGUGGAAGUCGACUUUGACGAUCCGACUACGAACGUGCGAGGACGUCGCGCCUUAGCAAUCGCUAAACCAACUCCGAGAGGUUAUUGACCACGCCGGAGCACGAUCAACCUGACCACGAGGGUCUGUUUCCUGCGAGCAAACGAAGAACAAGCAAGAAACUGAGAUUGCAAUCUGGAUAUUGCGAAUAUAAGAUGAAAGCUUUAUUGAUCAAGGUGGGGUUCUGUGACGCCUUUGUCUGGUCGUUGAACACAAACGAAGUACGCGAAGUUGCAGCUAUGGCGAACUUUUAAUCUAAACAAAACCCAAAGUCUAAACGAUGCCCUAAGGGCUGUAUAUAUGGAGGAAGAGGGGGGAAUUUCGUGGCCCUUGGUGGAGGGGUCCGAAAUCAACCCUAUCUCUUGUUUCCCCACACAUACGGACUCUAAAAAUAGCCUAUACUUAUGUAUUUCGAAAUUACAUGGGCCUGGCCCAAUAAUAAGGUGACGCAGCACCUAAAAUAGCCUCGGGAUGAAAUUUAUGAAGUGGCAUCUUGUAUAUUUCGUCCAAGGCUUCAUGCACCCAUUAUGGUGGCUUCAAAGUCCUGAAAUCAUCACUUGUAACUCCGUUCUUGUUUUCCUUGCGCAUGCCAUCAUCUCCAUGCUUGUUCUUGCUCCAAUGUUCAUCCUUCUCCAAGCUAGGCCCUUUAUUUGUAAGAAAAACAAAUGUAUCCAAUUUAGGCAGCAUCAUAUUCUCAUGAACAUUAGAAUCAUUACCAAGAAACGAAAGUACCUGGUAAUUUAGUUGGCGUGCACGAGCUCUAGUAAUUGGUCCAGUAUGUAUGGCAGCAGGGGCUGUGGGUGUAACAAUUGUAUUGAUGUCCUCAUCAACUUGAUAGAGGCGAGGGUGUCCCGAUCUUUCGAUGAGAUGAUAAGUAUCGAUUUGGUGGAGACGACUUUGAUGAUCCGACUACAAACGUGCACGACGUUGCACCUUAGCAAUCGCUAAACCAAUCUCCUGAGGUUACUGACGAUGCCGGAAGCACGGUCAGCCUGACCACGAAGGUCUAUUCCUGCAAGCAAUCGAAGAACGAGCAAGAAUAUGAUAAAGCAAUCUGAAUAUUGCAAAUAUAUAUGAGGUAUUGAUAAUGGUGGGGAUCCGUAAGCGGUCUUGGUCUGGUCGUUGGACACAAACGAAGUACACGAAGUUGCAGUGGCUAACUUUUAACUAAACAAAUCCCAAGGAAAAGUACUAGAUGGAUCUACUUAUAUAGGAGCAAGGGGUGGCGGCCAAGGAGGUGGGAGGACGUCCCAAGGCAGCCUAAAACUAAAUCUAGGUCGUACAAGGCCAAUGGGCCCAAGUGGAGGUGAUGUAACACCUUUGGACUUGUAGUUUGACUCGGAUUCUGCUGCAGCAUCAGAUUGUUUCAUCCACAACUCAACGCUCCGGACGAAUUUGAAGGUGAUACCAAUUGGGUUGGAAAGUGCACGAAAUCUAGUUUCCAACAAAAAAAGAAUCACCCAAUUCGGAGUCCAUAUGAAAAACUUGUGUGCGUUUUGAGUUAGGUGUGUCUGUGCAGUCCGAAUCUGAAUCCAGAACGUGAGAGACUUGGACUCUAUCUUCUCUUGGGCCAAAAGUGACGUGAGAGAACUUUUUGGACAGCAAAUAAACAUCUCAUUCUUCCUUAUCUUCAUAUUUGGAUUGUACAAAUGUCCCAUACACCUGCAAUUAGACAAAACACAGAAGUGUGUGAAGUAUUUUUGUUCUGGAUAACAUAAAUAGAUUAUUGAAUAGUUUGCACUAGAAAUCACCUGACAAAUAUGCAUAUAUGCAAUAUUUUUGGUCAUAUCCAAGGUAGUCAUGUCCUCAUCACCUUGAAUGGUCCAUCGGCUCGAGGUAGUAGUUUGGACUUGUGUUCGUUGGGGAAGUGGUCCUUGCGACGGUGUAGCCACACGAGAUCACCUAUGUUGAAGAUCAUUGGUUGUUUGUUGACGUUGAGCUUGGUCGCUAGGCGAUGUACUUGGCGCUCAAUGAUGGUCCUUGUAUCUUCAUGCAUCUUCUUGAUGUAGCUUGCUCGUGCACUCGCAUCCAUGUUGGUGCGCUCUUGUAGAGGGAGAGGUAGAAUGUCCAAUGGGGACAACGGGUUGAAGCCGUAGACGACCUCGAAGGGGGACUUGCCGGUAGUCGAAUGUCUUGCACGGUUGUAGGCGUACUCAGCAAUGGGUAGACAUGCCUCCCACUCCUUGAUGUUCUUCUUGAUCAACACGCGAAGCAUAGUGGAUAGUGUCCGGUUCGUCACCUCCGUUUGGCCGUCGGUUUGAGGAUGGUAUGCGGAUGAGAAUAAGAGCUUGAUUCCGAGCUUGGCGCAUAGAGUCUUCCAAAAGUAACUCAAGAGCUUGACGUCAUGGUCGAAGACGAUUGUCUUUGGUACUCCAUGGAGGCGCAAGAUUUCCCUACAAAAGAGGUUGGCAACAUGUGAAGCAUCGUCUAUCUUGUUGCAAGGAAUGACAUGUGCCAUCUUAGAAAAUCGAUCCACAACAACAAAUAUGGAAUCCUUUCCACUUUGAGUUCUAGGCAAACCAAGUACAAAAUCCAUGCUAAUAUCUUCCCAAGGUUGAUAAGGAAUAGGAAGAGGCCUGUAAAGACCAUGAGAUUGAGCUUUAGACUUAGCUUUGCGACAUGUAGAGCAUUGGGUGGUGAAGCGUGAGACGUCGUGGAACAUCUUGGGCCAAAAGUAGUUCUUAGAGAGCGUGGCGAAAGUCUUGUCGUGUCCAAAGUGUCCCAUGAGUCCGUGAUAGAGGCAAUGGUGUCCCGUCUUUCGAUGAGAUGAUGGAUAUCGCUUUGGUGGAAGUCGACUUUGACGAUCCGACUACGAACGUGCGAGGGUCUGUUUCCUGCGAGCAAACGAAGAACAAGCAAGAAACUGAGAUUGCAAUCUGGAUAUUGCGAAUAUAAGAUGAAAGCUUUAUUGAUCAAGGUGGGGUUCUGUGACGUCUUUGUCUGGUCGUUGAACACAAACGAAGUACGCGAAGUUGCAGCUAUGGCGAACUUUUAAUCUAAACAAAACCCAAAGUCUAAACGAUGCCCUAAGGGCUGUAUAUAUGGAGGAAGAGGGGGGAAUUUCGUGGCCCUUGGUGGAGGGGUCCGAAAUCAACCCUAUCUCUUGUUUCCCCACACAUACGGACUCUAAAAAUAGCCUAUACUUAUGUAUUUCGAAAUUACAUGGGCCUGGCCCAAUAAUAAGGUGACGCAGCACCUAAAAUAGCCUCGGGACGAAAUUUAUGAAGUGGCAUCUUGUAUAUUUCGUCCAAGGCUUCAUGCACCCAUUAUGGUGGCUUCAAAGUCCUGAAAUCAUCACUUGUAACUCCGUUCUUGUUCCCCUUGUGCAUGCCAUCAUCUCCAUGCUUGUUCUUGCUCCAAUGUUCAUCCUUCUCCAAGCUAGGCCCUUCAUUUGUAAGCAAAACAAAUGUAUCCAAUUUAGGCAGCAUCAUAUUCUCAUGAACAUUAGAAUCAUUACCAAGAAACAAAAGUACCUGGUAAUUUAGUUGGCGUGCACGAGCUCUAGUAAUUGGUCCAGUAUGUAUAGCAGCAGGGGCUGUGGGUGUAACAAUUGUAUUGAUGUCCUCAUCAGUCCGCCUCCAUGAGCCUCUUGCAAAAGGAGCAAACGAAGAGAAGACUCGGGAAUGCAUAGUUUGCUAGCUCUCAUAAGAUAACCAUCCUUGAUGUAAUAAUGUUCCCAAGAUGUAUGCGUCAAACAUUUAGCAUAAUGGUGCAAAAGAUGGAUUACUAGCAUACAAGUCUUUUAUGUGCUCAAAGCCAAUAACAUUCAACUCAAGUUUAGUGACAAGCGUGCAUAUGCGUGAAAGUGCAUUGGCAACUACAUUUUCCUUACCCUUAAUGUACUUGAUCAGAUAUGGGAAAGAUUCAAUAAAUUCACUCCAUUUGGCAUGACGCUUGUUCAACUUAGUUUGACCUUUUAAGUAUUUAAGUGUUUCAUGAUCGGUAUGUAUGACAAACUCAUGAGGUCUAAGAUAAUGUUCCCAAACAUGUAGGACACACACUAAAGCAUACAAUUCUUUGUCAUAGAUGGGAUAGUUAAGUUGAGCACCGGAGAGUUGUUCACUAAAAUAUGCAAUUGCUCGUUUUUCUUGCAUCAAAACUCUGCCAAUUCAGAUACCACUUGCAUCACAAUGAACCUCAAAAGUUUUGUCAAAGUUGGGCAAAGCAAGAAUCGGAGCAUGAGUAAGCAAAGAUUUGAGCUCAUCAAAAGCGGUUGAUUGCAAAGAUCCCGAAACAAAAGGAGCAUUCUUCUUACUCAAAGCAUGCAAAGGGGCGGCAAUAGUGCUAAAGUUUUUCACAAAGCGACGAUAAAAACCCGCAAGACCAAGAAAACUUCGCACUUGUUGCAAAUUGGUGGGUUGUGGCCAAGUUUUAAUUGCCUCAAUUUUAGUUUCAUCAACAUGGACACCCUUGGAAGAGACAACGAAACCCAAGAAAACCACUUUGUCAACACCAAAUAUGCACUUUUUUAUGUUGGCAUAAAGACUUUCUGAUGAGGACAUCAAUACAAUUGUUACACCCACAGCCCCUGCUGCUAUACAUACUGGACCAAUUACUAGAGCUCGUGCACGCCAACUAAAUUACCAGGUACUUUCGUUUCUUGGUAAUGAUUCUAAUGUUCAUGAGAAUAUGAUGCUGCCUAAAUUGGAUACAUUUGUUUUGCUUACAAAUGAAGGGCCUAGCUUGGAGAAGGAUGAACAUUGGAGCAAGAACAAGCAUGGAGAUGAUGGCAUGCGCAAGGGGAACAAGAACGGAGUUACAAGUGAUGAUUUUAGGACUUUGAAGCCACCAUAAUGGGUGCAUGAAGCCUUGGACGAAAUAUACAGGAUGCCACUUCAUAAAUUUCGUCCCGAGGCUAUUUUAGGUGCUGCGUCACCUUAUUAUUGGGCCAGGCCCAUGUAAUUUCGAAAUACAUAAGUAUAGGCUAUUUUUAGAGUCCGUAUGUGUGGGGAAACAAGAGAUAGGGUUGAUUUCGGACCCCUCCACCAAGGGCCACGAAAUUCCCCCCUCUUCCUCCAUAUAUACAGCCCUUAGGGCAUCGUUUAGACUUUGGGUUUUGUUUAGAUUAAAAGUUCGCCAUAGCUGCAACUUCGCGUACUUCGUUUGUGUUCAACGACCAGACAAAGGCGUCACAGAACCCCACCUUGAUCAAUAAAGCUUUCAUCUUAUAUUCGCAAUAUCCAGAUUGCAAUCUUAGUUUCUUGCUUGUUCUUCGUUUGCUCGCAGGAAACAGACCCUCGUGGUCAGGUUGAUCGUGCUCCGGCGUGGUCAAUAACCUCUCGGAGUUGGUUUAGCGAUUGCUAAGGCGCGACGUCCUCGCACGUUUGUAGUCGGAUCGUCAAAGUCGACUUCCACCAAAGCGAUAUCCAUCAUCUCAUCGAAAGACGGGACACCUUUGCCUCUAUCAAACGUGUUUUGAGUGUGCAGGUCACACAAGUUGAGCAAAAUCAGAGGCACAAUUUGUUCCAUACCAAGGGAGUUGUGAAGGAACGUUCUGUGCGCGUCAUAAUAGACGGAGGGAGCUGCAACAACUUGGCUAGCAUGGAGAUGGUGGAGAAGCUUUCUCUCACCACAAGACCACAUCCACAUCCUUACUACAUCCAAUGGUUCAACAACAUCGGCAAGGUUAAGGUAACACGUACUGUUCGUGUGCAUUUUAGUAUCUCUACAUAUGCUGAUUAUGUUGAUUGUGAUGUGGUACCUAUGCAAGCAUGUUCCUUAUUACUUGGUAGACCAUGGCAAUUUGAUAAAAAUUCUGUACACCAUGGUAGAAACAAUCACUAUACUCUUGUUCAUAAGGAUAAAAAUAUUUCUUUGCUUCCUAUGACUCCUGAUUCCAUUUUGAAAGAUGAUAUUAAUAAGCUAAUAAAGCACAACAGGAGAAGAAUAAGAGUGAAAAUCAGAUUGUGGCAAAAGAAUUUGAGCAACAAAUGAAGCCUAAUAAUAAACCAUCUAGUGUUGCUUCUGAAAUUAAAUUGAAAAGUGCAUGUUUAUUUGCCACCAAAUCUGAUAUUGAUGAGCUAGAUUUCAGCAAAUCUGUUUGCUAUGCUUUUGUGUGCAAAGAGGCAUUAUUUUCAUUCGAGGACAUGCCUUCCUCUUUGCCUCCUGCUGUCACUAACAUUUUGCAGGAGUUCGCUGACGUUUUUCCACAAGACGUGCCACCGGGAUUACCGCCUAUUCGAGGGAUUGAGCAUCAGAUUGACUUAAUUCCCGGUGCUUCACUGCCAAACCGUGCACCAUACCGUACCAAUCCAGAGGAGACGAAGGAGAUUAUGCGUCAAGUACAAGAGCUUCUCGACAAAGGUUAUAUACGCGAAUCCCUUAGUCCUUGUGCUGUUCCUAUUAUUCUAGUGCCGAAAAAGGAUGGUACAUCACGUAUGUGUGUUGAUUGUAGAGGCAUUAAUAAUAUUACUAUUCGUUAUCAUCAUCCUAUUCCUAGGCUAGAUGAUAUGCUUGAUGAAUUGAGUGGCUCUACAAUAUUCACCAAAGUUGAUUUGCGUAGUGGCUACCAUCAAAUUCGUAUGAAAUUGGGAGAUGAAUGGAAAACUGCAUUUAAAACUAAGUUUGGAUUAUAUGAGUGGUUAGUCAUGCCUUUUGGGUUAACUAAUGCACCUAGUACUUUCAUGAGAUUAAUGAACGAAGUUUUACGUGCUUUCAUUGGACGAUUUGUGGUAGUUUACUUUGAUGACAUAUUGAUUUAUAGCAGAUCUUUGGAGGAACAUUUGGAACAUUUACGUGCUGUUUUUAUUGCUCUACGUGAUGCACGUUUGUUUGGUAACCUUGGGAAGUGCACCUUUUGCACCGACCGAGUAUCUUUUCUUGGCUAUGUUGUUACUCCACAGGGAAUUGAAGUUGAUAAAGCCAAGAUUGAAGCUAUUGAGAGUUGGCCGCAGCCCAAAACGGUCACACAAGUGAGGAGUUUUCUUGGCCUCGCUGGAUUCUAUAGGCGUUUUGUGAGAGAUUUCAGCACCAUUGCUGCACCUCUCAAUGAGCUUACAAAGAAAGAUGUGCCUUUUCUUUGGGGUACCGCACAGGAAGAAGCCUUCACGGUAUUGAAAGAUAAGUUGUCACAUGCUCCUUUACUCCAACUUCCUGAUUUUAAUAAGACUUUUGAGCUUGAAUGUGAUGCUAGUGGAAUUGGAUUAGGAGGUGUGUUAUUACAAGAUGGCAAACCUGUUGCAUACUUUUCUGAAAAAUUGAGUGGGCCUAGUCUGAAUUAUUCUACUUAUGAUAAAGAAUUAUAUGCUCUUGUUCGGACUUUAGAAACAUGGCAACAUUAUUUAUGGCCCAAAGAAUUUGUUAUACAUUCUGAUCAUGAAUCUUUGAAACAUAUUAAAAGUCAAGCUAAACUGAAUCGUAGACAUGCUAAAUGGGUUGAAUUCAUUGAGACUUUCCCUUAUGUCAUUAAACACAAGAAGGGAAAAGAAAAUGUUAUUGCUGAUGCAUUGUCUCGUCGCUAUACUAUGUGAUGAGGACAUCAAUACAAUUGUUACACCCACAGCCCCUGCUGCUAUACAUACUGGACCAAUUACUAGAGCUCGUGCACGCCAACUAAAUUACCAGGUACUUUCGUUUCUUGGUAAUGAUUAUAAUGUUCAUGAGAAUAUGAUGCUGCCUAAAUUGGAUACAUUUGUUUUGCUUACAAAUGAAGGGCCUAGCUUGGAGAAGGAUGAACAUUGGAGCAAGAACAAGCAUGGAGAUGAUGGCAUGCGCAAGGGAAACAAGAACGGAGUUACAAGUGAUGAUUUCAGGACUUUGAAGCCACCAUAAUGGGUGCAUGAAGCCUUGGACGAAAUAUACAAGACGCCACUUCAUAAAUUUCGUCCCGAGGCUAUUUUAGGUGCUGCGUCACCUUAUUAUUGGGCCAGGCCCAUGUAAUUUCGAAAUACAUAAGUAUAGGCUAUUUUUAGAGUCCGUAUGUGUGGGGAAACAGAGAUAGGGUUGAUUUCGGACCCCUCCACCAAGGGCCACGAAAUUCCCCCCCUCUUCCUCCAUAUAUACAGCCCUUAGGGCAUCGUUUAGACUUUGGGUUUUGUUUAGAUUAAAAGUUCGCCAUAGCUGCAACUUCGCGUACUUCGUUUGUGUUCAACGACCAGACAAAGGCGUCACAGAACCCCACCUUGAUCAAUAAAGCUUUCAUCUUAUAUUCGCAAUAUCCAGAUUGCAAUCUUAGUUUCUUGCUUGUUCUUCGUUUGCUCGUAGGAAACAGACCUUCGUGGUCAGGUUGAUCGUGCUCCGGCGUGGUCAAUAACCUCUCGGAGUUGGUUUAGCGAUUGCUAAGGCGCGACGUCCUCGCACGUUCGUAGUCGGAUCGUCAAAGUCGACUUCCACCAAAGCGAAAUCCACCAUCUCAUCGAAAGACGGGACACCUUUGCCUCUAUCAAGUGGUAUCAGAUUUCCAGGUUGCUCGGUGAGAUUUUACAGUUUUUCGUAGUUUAGAUCGAGUCUGUUCUUCAUACCUACAGUCCACGAAAAAGCCACCAAAAAAAAAUUAGGGUUAGUUCAUCAUAUCCGAACCAAUCUGAGCCUUUGCAUAAUCUUUUUAGGGUUUUGCUUUGUUGAAUUUGCGGUUGCAUCGUCGUGUCUAGUUGCUGGUCUUAGAGUCUAGUCUUUUAGAGUUUCGAGUUCUGGUCAUAAGUUGUCACGCCGCCGCCGCGCCAUCAUCAUCGCCCCUGCCAUCCACCACUACCGCUCCGAAUCCGUAUCCAUAUACCACCACCGAUCCAUAUCCAUAUACUACCACCACCGCUGCCAUAUACCACCACCAUAUAUCCACCACCAAUCCGAGUUCCUUGAUUAUUAGGGUUGUUUUCGAGAUCCAUCUAGUUUCCGAUUCGUGUUUCCUUGCCGGAGUAGGUUUCGGAAAAAAAAAGAGUCGGGUAGCCACGCUCCGUUUAGGCCCAAAAUUUUUCGAAAACGCAUUUUUCGAAAAAAUUUCUGGCUAUCCUAUUUUUAGGUGUUUCUGAGUGUUUUGAGACAGGUGCCAUUAUAGGAAGUUUUUUUUGACCCGUUUCCAGUUUUUGGGUCCGGGCAGUCGAAAAAAAAAAAUUGGUCGAAAAAAUUUCGUGCCCAUCCUGUCAGUUUGAGCUAGGAAGAGUUUUGAGACACUCGCCAUUAUAGUGAUUUUUCGCAAAAAAAAAAGCAGCGCAAAAAAAAAGAGCGCAAAAAAAAAGAGCGAAAAAAAAUAUUCAGAGUGUGCUUUUCCCUUGUUUACGUGCCGCGCCGUGAUUUUGUUAGUGUUCUAGGCUCGCGUCUCUAGCACAGUCUAGCCUAGGACCAGCACAGUACCGUCGUUGAGCGUUUAUUCAACUUUGCAUCUCUGAAUUGAUUAUUGCUGACCCUUUUUGCUACCAUAUUAUAAGCCUUCCCAGCUCCACAUACAUCUACGUCGUGCGUUUGACUCUCCCUGGUAAUCGCUCUAUCCAAGCUUUGAGAGUUUUUGACUACAACGGUUGCCGAUCACCGCCUGCUGCUGGGUAAGAACUGGUAAGAAUUUGAGAUUUGCUUGACGGAUUUGUGACACCCACCACCACCACUUGUUCGUAGUCUGUAGGAUCAUAUUCUUGUGUGUUUCUAUUGCUUCUAACCAUGCCAGGAUCACAAGCCGACGAGAUUGACUGGGAGAAUUUAUCGAACAAGGAGCUUCAUGAUAAGUUUCAGCAAAUGAUGACUGAACAGGUGCAAGAUGUGCUGAACAAUUUUGAAGAGGCCAUGGAGAAGAUCACUGGCCUUGAGAAGACGUUCGAAACAAAGCUCGAUAACAAGUUGAAUGAAUUGCUCGCGCGUCUUCCACCACCACCACCCGCUGCACCUAACGCACCUCUCCAACAACAACAACAACGACUACCUCCACGUCGCGAAGCAGACCUCCGCCGAGCAAGCCGUGUUCCUCUUGCGUUUGGCCAAACUGUUGGUGCUGCUGUUGAUACUUCUGUGGCUCCUGCUGCUGAUGCGGAGGAGGAUGAUUAUGUGGGAGAUUAUGAGGAUGAGGUUGAUCAAAAUCAACACUACAUGCAGCCACCUGUACCACCACCAGCAGGUCGACCUCAGGUAUAUAUUCGUAAUGGUAGGCCUGCACCACCACCUCAGGUACGAGAUGAUGUCCAUAUUCCUAAACUGAAAUUGAAUAUUCCACCAUUUGAGGGUAGAUAUGUUCCUGAUAUAUAUCUUACUUGGGAGUUAGACACUGAACAACGAUUUACAUGUUUACAAUAUCCUGAGGAGAGACGAGUUGCUGCUGCUGUUUGUGCUUUCACUAGUUUUGCAUGUGUAUGGUGGUCUGAACAUUGUAGAUUAUAUCCUAUUCCAACUACUUGGGCUGCUUUGAAAACUGCUAUGCGUACGCGUUGGGUUCCACCAUAUUAUCAACGUGAAUUGCUUAGAAAAUUGCAGCGUUUAAGACAAGGGAAAAAUUCUGUAGAAGAAUAUUAUCAGGAAUUACAAACUGGCAUGAUUAGAUGUGGUAUUGUUGAGGAGAAUGAAGCUAUGCUUGCACGUUUUCUGGGUGGAUUAAAUAUAGAGAUUCAGACCAUUCUAGACUAUAAGGAGUAUACUAAUAUCACUCGUUUAUUCCAUCUUGCUUGUAAAGCUGAACGUGAAGUGCAGGAUCGACAAGCAUUGGGGCGAACUAACUUUUCUGCAGGCCGACCUUCAUCAUGGACACCACGUGCAUCUUCUACUUCAACUGCACCAGCACCUCCAUCCGGUGCCACCUCCAGCCGUGAUACAAGAAAACAGGCACAACCACCAUUAUCUGCCAAGAGCGCACCUGCGGGGCCUGCACAGCGUUCUUCUUCUUCCAUGGCAUCAACAGGGCACACAAGUGAUAUUAUUUGUCGUCGUUGUAAGGGAGGAGGUCAUUAUGCGAGAGAAUGCAAAUCUCCGCGUGUGAUGAUUGCUACCGUGGAUGGUGGAUAUGAGUCCGCUAGUGACUAUGAUGAGGAGACUUUGGCUCUUAUUACACGUGAAGAACAUGGUGGAGAUGAUUCUGAUCAUGAGACGCAAUACAUGGCUCCUGAAGACGCUGACAUGUAUGAAUGUUUAGUUGCUCAACGUGUUUUGAGUGUGCAGGUCACACAAGCUGAGCAAAAUCAGAGGCACAAUUUGUUCCAUACCAAGGGAGUUGUGAAGGAACGUUCUGUGCGCGUCAUCAUAGACGGAGGGAGCUGCAACAACUUGGCUAGCAUGGAGAUGGUGGAGAAGCUUUCUCUCACCACAAGACCACAUCCACAUCCUUACUACAUCCAAUGGUUCAACAACAGCGGCAAGGUUAAGGUAACACGUACUGUUCGUGUGCAUUUUAGUAUCUCUACAUAUGCUGAUUAUGUUGAUUGUGAUGUGGUACCUAUGCAAGCAUGUUCCUUAUUACUUGGUAGACAAUGGCAAUUUGAUAAAAAUUCUGUACACCAUGGCAGAAACAAUCACUAUACUCUUGUUCAUAAGGAUAAAAAUAUUACUUUGCUUCCUAUGACUCCUGAUUCCAUUUUGAAAGAUGAUAUUAAUAGAGCUAAUAAAGCAAAACAGGAGACGAAUAAGAGUGAAAAUCAGAUUGUGGCAAAAGAAUUUGAGCAACAAAUGAAGCCUAAUAAUAAACCAUCUAGUGUUGCUUCUGAAAUUAAAUUGAAAAGUGCAUGUUUAUUUGCCACCAAAUCUGAUAUUGAUGACCUAGAUUUCAGCAAAUCUGUUUGCUAUGCUUUUGUGUGCAAAGAGGCAUUAUUUUCAUUCGAGGACGUGCCUUCCUCUUUGCCUCCUGCUGUCACUAACAAUUUGCAGGAGUUCGCUGACGUCUUUCCACAAGACGUGCCACCGGGGUUACCGCCUAUUCGAGGGAUUGAGCAUCAGAUUGACUUAAUUCCCGGUGCUUCACUGCCAAACCGUGCACCAUACCGUACCAAUCCAGAGGAGACGAAGGAGAUUAUGCGUCAAGUACAAGAGCUUCUCGACAAAGAUUAUAUACGCGAAUCCCUUAGUCCUUGUGCUGUUCCUAUUAUUCUAGUGCCGAAAAAGGAUGGUACAUCACGUAUGUGUGUUGAUUGUAGAGGCAUUAAUAAUAUUACUAUUUGUUAUCGUCAUCCUAUUCCUAGGCUAGAUGAUAUGCUUGAUGAAUUGAGUGGCUGUACAAUAUUCUCCAAAGUUGAUUUGCGUAGUGGCUACCAUCAAAUUCGUAUGAAAUUGGGAGAUGAAUGGAAAACAGCAUUUAAAACUAAGUUUGGAUUAUAUGAGUGGUUAGUCAUGCCUUUUGGGUUAACUAAUGCACCUAGUACUUUCAUGAGAUUAAUGAACGAAGUUUUACGUGCUUUCAUUGGACGAUUUGUGGUAGUUUACUUUGAUGACAUAUUGAUUUAUAGCAGAUCUUUGGAAGAACAUUUGGAACAUUUACGUGCUGUUUUUAUUGCUCUACGUGAUGCACGUUUGUUUGGUAACCUUGGGAAGUGCACCUUUUGCACCGACCGAGUAUCUUUUCUUGGCUAUGUUGUUACUCCACAGGGAAUUGAAGUUGAUAAAGCCAAGAUUGAAGCUAUUGAGAGUUGGUCGCAACCCAAAACGGUCACACAAGUGAGGAGUUUUCUUGGCCUCGCUGGAUUCUAUAGGCGUUUUGUGAGAGAUUUCAGCACCAUUGCUGCACCUCUCAAUGAGCUUACAAAGAAAGAUGUGCCUUUUCUUUGGGGUACCGCACAGGAAGAAGCCUUCACGGUAUUGAAAGAUAAGUUGACACAUGCUCCUUUACUCCAACUUCCUGAUUUUAAUAUGACUUUUGAGCUUGAAUGUGAUGCUAGUGGAAUUGGAUUAGGCGGUGUGUUAUUACAAGAUGGCAAACCUGUUGCAUACUUGAUGAGGACAUGACUACCUUGGAUAUGACCAAAAAUAUUGCAUAUAUGCAUAUUUGUCAGGUGAUUUCUAGUGCAAACUAUUCAAUAAUCUAUUUAUGUUAUCCAGAACAAAAAUACUUCACACACUUUUGUGUUUCGUCUAAUUGCAGGUGUAUGGGACAUUUGUACAAUCCACAUAUGAAGAUAAGGAAGAAAGAGAUGUUUAUUUGCUGUCCAAAAAGUUCUCUCACGUCACUUUUGGCCCAAGAGAAGAUAGAGUCCAAGUCUCUCACGUUCUGGAUUCAGAUUCGGACUGCACAGACACACCUGACUCAAAACGCACACAAGUUUUUCGUACGGACUCCGAAUUGGGUGAUUCUUUUUUUGUUGGAAACUAGAUUUCGUGCACUUUCCAACCCAAUUGGAAUCACCUUCAAAUUCGUCCGGAGCGUUGAGUUGUGGACGAAACAAUCUGAUGCUGCAGCAGAAUCCGAGUCAAACUACAAGUCCAAAGGUGUUACAUCACCUCCACUUGGGCCCAUUGGCCUUGUACGACCUAGAUUUAGUUUUAGGCUGCCUUGGGACGUCCUCCCACCUCCUUGGCCGCCACCCCUUGGUCCUAUAUAAGUAGAUCCAUCUAGUAGCUUUUCCUUGGGAUUUGUUUAGUUAAAAGUUAGCCAUUGCAACUUCGUGUACUUCGUUUGUGUCCAACGACCAGACCAAGACCGCUUACGGAUCCCCACCUUUAUCAAUACUUCAUAUAUACUCGCAAUAUUCAGAUUGCAUUUAUCAUAUUCUUGCUUGUUCUUCGAUUGCUUGCAGGAAUAGACCUUCGUGGUCAGGUUGAUUGUGCUCCAGCAUGGUCAAUAACCUCUCGGAGUUGGUUUAGCGAUUGCUAAGGCGCAACGUCGUGCACGUUUGUAGUCGGAUCGUCAAAGUCAUCUUCACCAAAUCGAUAGUUAUCAUCUCAUCGAAAAAUCGGGACACCCCGCCUCUAUCAAAGACGUGCCACCGGGAUUACCGCCUAUUCGAGGGAUUGAGCAUCAGAUUGACUUAAUUCCCGGUGCUUCACUGCCAAACCGUGCACCAUACCGUACCAAUCCAGAGGAGACGAAGGAGAUUAUGCGUCAAGUACAAGAGCUUCUCGACAAAGGUUAUAUACGCGAAUCCCUUAGUCCUUGUGCUGUUCCUAUUAUUCUAGUGCCGAAAAAGGAUGGUACAUCACGUAUGUGUGUUGAUUGUAGAGGCAUUAAUAAUAUUACUAUUCGUUAUCGUCAUCCUAUUCCUAGGCUAGAUGAUAUGCUUGAUGAAUUGAGUGGCUCUACAAUAUUCUCCAAAGUUGAUUUGCGUAGUGGCUACCAUCAAAUUCGUAUGAAAUUGGGAGAUGAAUGGAAAACAGCAUUUAAAACUAAGUUUGGAUUAUAUGAGUGUUUAGUCAUGCCUUUUGGGUUAACUAAUGCACCUAGUACUUUCAUGAGAUUAAUGAACGAAGUUUUACGUGCUUUCAUUGGACGAUUUGUGGUAGUUUACUUUGAUGACAUAUUGAUUUAUAGCAGAUCUUUGGAAGAACAUUUGGAACAUUUACGUGCUGUUUUUAUUGCUCUACGUGAUGCACGUUUGUUUGGUAACCUUGGGAAGUGCACCUUUUGCACCGACCGAGUAUCUUUUCUUGGCUAUGUUGUUACUCCACAGGAAAUUGAAGUUGAUAAAGCCAAGAUUGAAGCUAUUGAGAGUUGGCCGCAGCCCAAAACGGUCACACAAGUGAGGAGUUUUCUUGGCCUCGCUGGAUUCUAUAGGCGUUUUGUGAGAGAUUUCAGCACCAUUGCUGCACCUCUCAAUGAGCUUACAAAGAAAGAUGUGCCUUUUCUUUGGGGUACCGCACAGGAAGAAGCCUUCACGGUAUUGAAAGAUAAGUUGACACAUGCUCCUUUACUCCAACUUCCUGAUUUUAAUAAGACUUUUGAGCUUGAAUGUGAUGCUAGUGGAAUUGGAUUAGGAGGUGUGUUAUUACAAGAUGGCAAACCUGUUGAAUACUUUUCUGAAAAAUUGAGUGGGCCUAGUCUGAAUUAUUCUACUUAUGAUAAAGAAUUAUAUGCUCUUGUUCGGACUUUAGAAACAUGGCAACAUUAUUUAUGGCCCAAAGAAUUUGUUAUACAUUCUGAUCAUGAAUCUUUGAAACAUAUUAAAAGUCAAGCUAAACUGAAUCGUAGACAUGCUAAAUGGGUUGAAUUCAUUGAGACUUUCCCUUAUGUCAUUAAACACAAGAAGGGAAAAGAAAAUGUUAUUGCUGAUGCAUUGUCUCGUCGCUAUACUAUGCUUUCACAACUUGACUUCAAAAUAUUUGGAUUAGAGACCAUCAAAGAUCAAUAUGUGCAUGAUGCUGAUUUUAAAGAUGUAAUGCAUAAUUGUAAAGAAGGAAGAAUGUGGAACAAGUUUGUUGUUAACGAUGGAUUUGUGUUUCGUGCUAACAAGCUAUGCAUUCCAGCGAGCUCCGUUCGUCUUUUGUUGUUGCAGGAGGCGCAUGGAGGAGGAUUAAUGGGACACUUUAGCGUGAAGAAGACGGAGGACGUACUUGCUACACAUUUCUUUUGGCCAAAGAUGAGACGGGAUGUUGAGCGUUUUAUUGCUCGCUGCACUACAUGUCAAAAAGCUAAGUCACGACUCAAUCCUCAUGGUUUAUAUAUGCCUUUGCCUGUACCUAGUGUUCCUUGGGAGGAUAUAUCUAUGGACUUUGUUUUAGGUUUACCUCGAACAAAGAAGGGGAGGGAUAGCAUAUUUGUUGUCGUGGAUAGAUUCUCGAAAAUGGCACACUUUAUACCAUGUCAUAAAAGCGAUGAUGCUGUUAAUGUUGCUGAUUUGUUCUUUCGUGAAAUUAUUCGUUUGCAUGGUGUGCCAAAUACUAUUGUUUCAAAUCGUGAUACUAAAUUUCUUAGCCACUUUUGGAGAUGUUUAUGGGCUAAGUUGGGGACUAAACUGCUUUUUAGUACUACUUGUCACCCCCAAACUGAUGGACAAACUGAAGUAGUCAAUAGAACGUUGUCUACUAUGCUUAGGGCUGUUUUGAAGAAUAAUAAGAAAAUGUGGGAGGAAUGCUUGCCUCAUAUUGAAUUUGCUUAUAAUCGUUCAUUGCAUUCUACUACUAAGAUGUGCCCAUUUGAAGUUGUGUAUGGUUUCCUACCUCGUGCACCUCUUGAUUUGUUGCCUCUUCCAUCUUCGGAGAAGGUUAAUUUUGAUGCUAAACAACGUGCUGAAUUGAUUUUAAAAAUGCAUGAGUUAACUAAGGAAAACAUUGAGCGCAUGAAUGCUAAAUAUAAACUUGCUGGAGAUAAGGGUAGAAAACAUGUUGUGUUUGCACCUGGAGAUCUUGUUUGGUUACAUUUGCGUAAGGAUAGAUUUCCUGAUUUGCGCAAAUCAAAGUUAAUGCCACGUGCUGAUGGUCCCUUUAAGGUGUUAGAGAAAAUAAAUGAUAAUGCAUAUAAACUUGAGCUGCCUGCAGAUUUUGGGGUUAGUCCCACUUUUAACAUUGCAGAUUUGAAGCCUUAUUUGGGUGAGGAAGAUAAACUUCCGUCGAGGACGACUUCAUUUCAAGAAGGGGAGGAUGAUGAGGACAUCAAUACAAUUGUUACACCCACAGCCCCUGCCGCUAUACAUACUGGACCAAUUACUAGAGCUCGUGCACGCCAACUAAAUUACCAGGUACUUUCGUUUCUUGGUAAUGAUUCUAAUGUUCAUGAGAAUAUGAUGCUGCCUAAAUUGGAUACAUUUGUUUUGCUUACAAAUGAAGGGCCUAGCUUGGAGAAGGAUGAACAUUGGAGCAAGAACAAGCAUGGAGAUGAUGGCAUGCGCAAGGGGAACAAGAACGGAGUUACAAGUGAUGAUUUCAGGACUUUGAAGCCACCAUAAUGGGUGCAUGAAGCCUUGGACGAAAUAUACAAGAUGCCACUUCAUAAAUUUCGUCCCGAGGCUAUUUUAGGUGCUGCGUCACCUUAUUAUUGGGCCAGGCCCAUGUAAUUUCGAAAUACAUAAGUAUAGGCUAUUUUUAGAGUCCGUAUGUGUGGGGAAACAAGAGAUAGGGUUGAUUUCGGACCCCUCCACCAAGGGCCACGAAAUUCCCCCCUCUUCCUCCAUAUAUACAGCCCUUAGGGCAUCGUUUAGACUUUGGGUUUUGUUUAGAUUAAAAGUUCGCCAUAGCUGCAACUUCGUGUACUUUGUUUGUGUUCAACGACCAGACAAAGGCGUCACAGAACCCCACCUUGAUCAGUAAAGCUUUCAUCUUAUAUUCGCAAUAUCCAGAUUGCAAUCUUAGUUUCUUGCUUGUUCUUCGUUUGCUCGCAGGAAACAGACCCUCGUGGUCAGGUUGAUCGUGCUUCGGCGUGGUCAAUAACCUCUCGGAGUUGGUUUAGCGAUUGCUAAGGCGCGACGUCCUCGCACGUUCGUAGUCGGAUCGUCAAAGUCGACUUCCACCAAAGCGAUAUCCAUCAUCUCAUCGAAAGACGGGACACCUUUGCCUCUAUCACCAAGAUUAGAGGUCAUAUCAAAAUGAUUAAACAUUGGUUCUUUUGCAUCAAUAGUUAAUUCAAUGGGUGCACUCAAAAUUGUUGGUAUUUCAGUUGUUUGAUCACAUGGCAAAGUCAAAUUAUCAACGUAGUCCUCUAAAAUAGGUGGUGUGAUCAAAGUAGUGGGUAGCUCAUCAGAUGGUGCAUUCAAAUUGAUAAGGCAUUCAUCAUUCUCAUGUAGAGAUGGAAGAUCAGUACCUGUGUCUGAUAGAGGCAAAGGUGUCCCGUCUUUCGAUGAGAUGGUGGAUUUCGCUUUGGUGGAAGUCGACUUUGACGAUCCGACUACGAACGUGCGAGGACGUCGCGCCUUAGCAAUCGCUAAACCAACUCCGAGAGGUUAUUGACCACGCCGGAGCACGAUCAACCUGACCACGAGGGUCUGUUUCCUGCGAGCAAACGAAGAACAAGCAAGAAACUAAGAUUGCAAUCUGGAUAUUGCGAAUAUAAGAUGAAAGCUUUAUUGAUCAAGGUGGGGUUCUGUGACGCCUUUGUCUGGUCGUUGAACACAAACGAAGUACGCGAAGUUGCAGCUAUGGCGAACUUUUAAUCUAAACAAAACCCAAAGUCUAAACGAUGCCCUAAGGGCUGUAUAUAUGGAGGAAGAGGGGGGAAUUUCGUGGCCCUUGGUGGAGGGGUCCGAAAUCAACCCUAUCUCUUGUUUCCCCACACAUACGGACUAUAAAAAUAGCCUAUACUUAUGUAUUUCGAAAUUACAUGGGCCUGGCCCAAUAAUAAGGUGACGCAGCACCUAAAAUAGCCUCGGGACGAAAUUUAUGAAGUGGCAUCUUGUAUAUUUCGUCCAAGGCUUCAUGCACCCAUUAUGGUGGCUUCAAAGUCCUGAAAUCAUCACUUGUAACUCCGUUCUUGUUCCCCUUGCGCAUGCCAUCAUCUCCAUGCUUGUUCUUGCUCCAAUGUUCAUCCUUCUCCAAGCUAGGCCCUUCAUUUGUAAGCAAAACAAAUGUAUCCAAUUUAGGCAGCAUCAUAUUCUCAUGAACAUUAGAAUCAUUACCAAGAAACGAAAGUACCUGGUAAUUUAGUUGGCGUGCACGAGCUCUAGUAAUUGGUCCAGUAUGUAUAGCGGCAGGGGCUGUGGGUGUAACAAUUGUAUUGAUGUCCUCAUCAUCCUCCCCUUCUUGAAAUGAAGUCGUCCUCGACGGAAGUUUAUCUUCCUCACCCAAAUAAGGCUUCAAAUCUGCAAUGUUAAAAGUGGGACUAACCCCAAAAUCUGCAGGCAGCUCAAGUUUAUAUGCAUUAUCAUUUAUUUUCUCUAACACCUUAAAGGGACCAUCAGCACGUGGCAUUAACUUUGAUUUGCGCAAAUCAGGAAAUCUAUCCUUACGCAAAUGUAACCAAACAAGAUCUCCAGGUGCAAACACAACAUGUUUUCUACCCUUAUCUCCAGCAAGUUUAUAUUUAGCAUUCAUGCGCUCAAUGUUUUCCUUAGUUAACUCAUGCAUUUUUAAAAUCAAUUCAGCACGUUGUUUAGAAUCAAAAUUAACCUUCUCCGAAGAUGGAAGAGGCAACAAAUCAAUAGGUGCACGAGGUAGGAAACCAUACACAACUUCAAAAGGGCACAUCUUAGUAGUAGAAUGCAAUGAACGAUUAUAAGCAAAUUCAAUAUGAGGCAAGCAUUCCUCCCACAUUUUCUUAUUAUUCUUCAAAACAGCCCUAAGCAUAGUAGACAACGUUCUAUUGACUACUUCAGUUUGUCCAUCAGUUUGGGGGUGACAAGUUGAUGAGGACAUGACUACCUUGGAUAUAACCAAAAAUAUUGCAUAUAUGCAUAUUUGUCAGGUGAUUUCUAGUGCAAACUAUUCAAUAAUCUAUUUAUGUUAUCCAGAACAAAAAUACUUCACACACUUUUGUGUUUUGUCUAAUUGCAGGUGUAUGGGACAUUUGUACAAUCCACAUAUGAAGAUAAGGAAGAAAGAGAUGUUUAUUUUCUGUCCAAAAAGUUCUCUCACGUCACUUUUGGCCCAAGAGAAGAUAGAGUCCAAGUCUCUCACGUUCUGGAUUCAGAUUCGGACUGCACAGACACACCUGACUCAAAACGCACACAAGUUUUUCAUACGGACUCCGAAUUGGGUGAUUCUUUUUUUGUUGGAAACUAGAUUUCGUGCACUUUCCAACCCAAUUGGAAUCACCUUCAAAUUCGUCCGGAGCGUUGAGUUAUGGACGAAACAAUCUGAUGCUGCAGCAGAAUCCGAGUCAAACUACAAGUCCAAAGGUGUUACAUCACCUCCACUUGGGCCCAUUGGCCUUGUACGACCUAGAUUUAGUUUUAGGCUGCCUUGGGACGUCCUCCCACCUCCUUGGCCGCCACCCCUUGCUCCUAUAUAAGUAGAUCCAUCUAGUAGCUUUUCCUUGGGUUUUGUUUAGAUUAAAAGUUCGCCAUAGCUGCAACUUCGCGUACUUCGUUUGUGUUCAACGACCAGACAAAGGCGUCACAGAACCCCACCUUGAUCAAUAAAGCUUUCAUCUUAUAUUCGCAAUAUCCAGAUUGCAAUCUUAGUUUCUUGCUUGUUCUUCGUUUGCUCGCAGGAAACAGACCCUCGUGGUCAGGUUGAUCGUGCUCCAGCGUGGUCAAUAACCUCUCGGAGUUGGUUUAGCGAUAGCUAAGGCGCGACGUCCUCGCACGUUCGUAGUCGGAUCGUCAAAGUCGACUUCCACCAAAGCGAAAUCCACCAUCUCAUCGAAAGACGGGACACCUUUGCCUCUAUCAAGAUGCCACUUCAUAAAUUUCGUCCCGAGGCUAUUUUAGGUGCUGCGUCACCUUAUUAUUGGGCCAGGCCCAUGUAAUUUCGAAAUACAUAAGUAUAGGCUAUUUUUAGAGUCCGUAUGUGUGGGGAAACAAGAGAUAGGGUUGAUUUCGGACCCCUCCACCAAGGGCCACGAAAUUCCCCCCCCCUCUUCCUCCAUAUAUACAGCCCUUAGGGCAUCGUUUAGACUUUGGGUUUUGUUUAGAUUAAAAGUUCGCCAUAGCUGCAACUUCGCGUACUUCGUUUGUGUUCAACGACCAGACAAAGGCGUCACAGAACCCCACCUUGAUCAAUAAAGCUUUCAUCUUAUAUUCGCAAUAUCCAGAUUGCAAUCUUAGUUUCUUGCUUGUUCUUCGUUUGCUCGCAGGAAACAGACCCUCGUGGUCAGGUUGAUCGUGCUCCGGCGUGGUCAAUAACCUCUCGGAGUUGGUUUAGCGAUUGCUAAGGCGCGACGUCCUCGCACGUUCGUAGUCGGAUCGUCAAAGUCGACUUCCACCAAAGCGAAAUCCACCAUCUCAUCGAAAGACGGGACACCUUUGCCUCUAUCACUUUCCUUGCGAAGUGUUUGCAAAACAACCCUAACAUGAUCAAGAUGCUCUUUCAUGGUUUUGCUAAACACAAGAAUAUCAUCGAAGUAAACCACAACAAAGACUCCAAUAUAAGGGCGAAGUACAUGAUGCAUGAGGCGCACGAAAGUACCGGGAGCCUCCGAUAAAUCCAUAGGCAUGACUAACCACUCAUAUAAGCCAAAUUUUGUUUUGAAAGCAGUUUUCCAUUCAUCACCUUCUUGUAUGCGGAUUUGAUAAUAGCCACUUUUAAGGUCAAUUUUAGAGAAAAAGUUGGCUCCACUAAGUUCAUCAAGCAUAUUAUCUAAGCGAGGAAUGGGAUGCCUAUAGCGAAUGGUGAUAGCAUUUAUAGGUCUACAAUCGGAACACAAGCAGAAACUUCCAUCGGGCUUAGGCACAAGUAUAACGGGAACGGCACAAGGUCUUAAGCUUUCAUGUACAUGACCAUUAUCGAUUAGUUGUUGUACUUGCCGUUGAAUCUCCUUGGUUUCUUCGGGAUUGACACGGUAUGGAGCUUUGUUUGGAAGUGGCGCUCCGGGAAUGAGGUCGAUUCGAUGCUCAAUGCCUCGUAGAGGAGGUAGACCCUGAGGUAGCUCAUUGGGGAAAACAUCUUGAAAUUCCUGCAAAAGAGAUUGAAACACCAAAGGUAGCUCGUGAGUGGUGUUAGUUUUUGGUUCUCCAUCCUUGCACACAAGGACAAAGUGCAUCACACUCGAUGGAUUCUCACACACUUCUCUCAUCUCACUUUUUGUGGCGAAUAGUAUGAGGUUUUUCUCUCUAGGCAAAGAGGCGCUCAAGUUUGGCUUGUUGCUCUCACUCAUGUUUUGGUGGCUCACUUUCUCACUCUUCUCUUUUAUGGUGGGUGGCUUGCUUGUCGGCUAUCACUUUACUAGGAGACAUGGGUCGUAGCACAUAUUCCUUCCCUUUCAUCUUGAAGCUAUAGUGAUUGGUACGCCCAUUGUGGACGACGCCACGGUCGAAUUGCCAUGGUCGACCAAGAAGGAGGUGGCAAACGGUCAUUGGGACCACAUCACACUCCAAAGUGUCCUCAUAUGCACCAAUUUUGAAGGAUACAUAGACCGUAUGCUCAACUCGUAUAGUGCCGGAGUCACUUAGCCAUUGAACCUUGUAGGGAUGCGGGUGCUUCCUCUUGACCAAUUGAAGCUUGGAGCAUAGUUCUUCACUUGCCAAGUUGUGGCAACUACCUCCAUCGAUGAUGACCUUGAUGGACCUUCCAUUGAUGCCGGCCUUGGUGUGGAAGAUAUGGCAUCGUUGGUCUUCUUCUUGUUGAUGUUGAAGUGUCAAGACCUUGGAGACAACGAGAGCAUGGCUCGUAUCUUCAUCACAAAAGACUUGAUCAUCUUCAUCCUCGUUUACGUGCCGGUGCAUGGCCACUUGCUCAAUAGCUUCCAGUUCAUCUUCACUCAUUGAGUCGUAGGUGCCAUCAUCGUUGAGGAUCAUGGUGCGCUUGUUGGUGCAUUGGAAGGACUUGCGGCCUCGGCCGCCACAUGUGAAGCACUUGAUUGAACUUGUCUUGACAGUCUCAUCGGUCGAAGUAGAGGAAGAAGUACGUGGCUUGUAGUUGCUUGUAGUAGGAGGAAGACGACUUGAACUUGACGAAGGUUUCUUGUAUGUUGUCUUGUCAUCGUUGCUUGGAGAAGGCUUGGUUGAAGUAGAUGUUGGAGGAGUUGUUGAAGCUUGAUUGUUGGAGAAGCCGUAUGUCUUGGAUGAGUACUUGGCGUACUUUAAGUCAUCUUGCACUUCACGUUCCGCCUUGGUCGCUUGAUGCACUAGCUCGAUGAGGUUGGAGUAGGGUUGGAAGUCGGCGAUCUUCUUGAUGGGAUGAUUGAGUCCAUUCAAGAAUCGUGCCGUUGUUUGCUCAUCAUCUUCCUUGACAUUGGCUCGAAUCAUGGCUAUCUCCAUUUCCUUGCAGUAUUCUUCAACACUCUUUGUUCCUUGCUUGAGGAGUUGUAGCUUCCUGAAGAGAUCACGGUUGUAGUAGGUGGGCACAAAUCGUGCUCGCAUGACAUCCUUCAUUUGAGCCCAACUGGUGAUUGGAGGGUCACCUCUUGCUUCUAGGUGCUCAAGGACUUGUUCCCACCAUAUGAGCACAUAGUCUUGGAACUCAAAUGAUGCCAUUGCGAUCUUCUUCUCUUCCUCAUAGUUGUGCAAACGAAAGAUUUUGUCGACCUUCAAUGCCCAUGAGAGGUAUUCUUCCGGAUCAUUGCUUCCAUUGAACUUGGGCAUUGUGAAUUUGAGCUUUCCAUAGCGUUGCUCUUCAUCUUGAUAGCGGUUGCGAUGUCGCUCUUGCCUUGGAAAGUCCUUGAAUGCUCGCUCCUCAUGAUGUCGCUCUUGGCGUGGAGGAGGGUCUUGAAGCACUUGUUCCACUUGGUGUCGCUCUUGGCAUGGAGGAAGUCCAUGAUCAACUUGCUCUUGUUGAACUUGAGGUUGAGGUGGAGCUUGACGAGCUUGAGAAACUUGACGGUGCACACGUGGUUGAUAGUUCCUCUCUUGUAUUUCUUCUCGAAGUGCUUACUCUUGAUUGCGCCGUUCGCGAUUGCGGUUGGCGAUGGCUCGACUUGAUUCUUUAAGGGUACGUUCCGCCUCAAGAGCUUGUGCUUCUCGUUGUUGUUGUUGAAGACGUUGAGCCUCAGCGUCUUGUUCCUCUUGGUGUAGACGCGCUCGUUCUUCCUCUUGGUGUAGGCGCGCUCGUUCUUCCUCUUGGCUCCGUAGUCGUUGUCGUUCGUGAGCUUGAGCAAAAGCAACUUGGUUUGAUUGAGGACGAGGGACUUGCUCAUCGACUUGCUCUUGUGAAUGCUUGACGUGUAGCGGGUCUCGAGAUGCAUGACGGUCUUGACGCGCGGCUCGUCGAAGAAUGGUCGAUGACGGUGUACUUGAGCCGGAGAAGGUGUCGUCGGAGUGUCGAGUUGAGUGGCUCCGUCUUGAGUAGGAAGAAGUUGAAUUAGGCCGGUUGACCAACAAAGCGCGGAUCUCGUCCCUUCUUGCAUCAUUCUCUUGCUUGUGCGCGUCGAGCUUGUUGUCGAAGUAGUCUCGUGUACGUUUCCUUUUCUGAAGUUACCUUUUCCGAAGAUUGUGGAUGUAACAAGUACGAUCCCACGUGAUGUUACAAUAGGGGAAUUGGUACCGGGAAUUGUUUCUCACACCUACAAGUAAAUGGUCUAUGGACGAGCUUGGUUAGGAAAGGCACAAAUAAUUCAAGCAAAUGUUAGUCAAGAUGAUGAGGACAUGACUACCUUGGAUAUGACCAAAAAUAUUGCAUAUAUGCAUAUUUGUCAGGUGAUUUCUAGUGCAAACUAUUCAAUAAUCUAUUUAUGUUAUCCAGAACAAAAAUACUUCACACACUUUUUUGUUUUGUCUAAUUGCAGGUGUAUGGGACAUUUGUACAAUCCACAUAUGAAGAUAAGGAAGAAAGAGAUGUUUAUUUGCUGUCCAAAAAGUUCUCUCACAUCACUUUUGGCCCAAGAGAAGAUAGAGUCCAAGUCUCUCACGUUCUGGAUUCAGAUUCGGACUGCACAGACACACCUGACUCAAAACGCACACAAGUUUUUCAUACGGACUCCGAAUUGGGUGAUUUUUUUUGUUGGAAACUAGAUUUCGUGCACUUUCCAACCCAAUUGGAAUCACCUUCAAAUUCGUCCGGAGCGUUGAGUUGUGGACGAAACAAUCUGAUGCUGCAGCAGAAUCCGAGUCAAACUACAAGUCCAAAGGUGUUACAUCACCUCCACUUGGGCCCAUUGGCCUUGUACGACCUAGAUUUAGUUUUAGGCUGCCUUGAGACGUCCUCCCACCUCCUUGGCCGCCACCCCUUGCUCCUAUAUAAGUAGAUCCAUCUAGUAGCUUUUCCUGGGGAUUUGUUUAGUUAAAAGUUAGCCAUUGCAACUUCGUGUACUUCGUUUGUGUCCAACGACCAGACCAAGACCGCUUCCGGAUCCCCACCAUUAUCAAUACUUCAUAUAUAUUUGCAAUAUUCAGAUUGCUUUAUCAUAUUCUUGCUCGUUCUUCGAUUGCUUGCAGGAACAGACCUUCGUGGUCAGGCUGACCGUGCUUCCAGCAUCGUCAGUAACCUUAGGAGAUUGGUUUAGCGAUUGCUAAGGCGCAACGUCGUGCACGUUUGUAGUCGGAUUGUCAAAGUCGUCUCCACCAAAUCGAUAGUUAUCAUCUGAUCGAAAGAUCAGGACCCUCGCCUCUAUCAAGUGGUAUCAGUUUUCAGGUUGCUCGGUGAGAAUUUCCAGUUUUUCCUAGAUUAGAUUUAUUUUCUUACCUAUUGUCCAAGAAAAAGCCACAAAACAAAAGUUAGAUCUAUUCAUCCUUUGUCCUAGCCAGACUGAGCCUUUGCAAUUUUCUUUUCAUUGUUUGCAUUAUUGAAUUAUCGGUUGCAUCGCCGUGUCGAGUUGCUGGUCUUAGUGUCUAGUUCCUUUAGAGUUUCGAGUUCUGUUCACAUUAGUCACGCAGCCGCUGCAUCAUUAUCCCAUCCGCUGUCCACCAUCCCAUCCACCAAUUUCCACCACGUGCUACGCACUGUUUAUUGUCAUAAUCAUAGUUGAGGUCACUCACAUCUUCGCCUGAUCGAAUCUGCAUCUUAUCUAGUUUGUCUUGGAAAGAGGGAGAAAAAGAAUAUAAAGAAAAAAAAGAGAGAAAAAAGGAAAGAAAAAAAAGAAAUAGAGGGAGAAGAAAAAGAAAAAAAAAGCGUGAGAAAAAAAGAGAGAAGAAAAAAAAUUGGAUCUAUCUAGAAUCAAUCUCGUACCUGAAUUCGGAUUGGAAUCUGUUUUGCGCACUGUUCAGUAAAACAGGUGUAUCUUCCUCAUACGAAGUCCGUUUUGGCUCCGUGAGUACUCAAAUUGAAGAUAGCGACGAGCCGCAUCUAAAUAGUUGCAGAAGCUAGUUCAAUAUUUUACACCUCAAAAUCGGCUUCUAAAUAGGUCUUUUUGCCCUCCGAAGUUCGUGAACACAGCUUGUUCCAAAUUUUUAGGCCAGUUUUAGAAUUCUUUGACUCCUCAUAUCAACUCGGAAUUGAGUGAUUCUUUUUGCAUUGGAAAGCUUGAGUUAGUAGCAUUCUUUGAAAGAAUUUAUCAGAAAAUUGUCUCAAACUUUUCAAGAGGAAAGUUGGAGAGAGAGUUGUUGUAUAUCCUGCUUGGCAGUUGUUUUUCAUCAUUAUCUUCACUGCCGUUGUGAUCUUCACUUAUAUCUUGCUAUCAAGAGCUACUUAGUAUCCUUCAUUGAUGCUAGUUGUGCUACGCCGUGACCUUAUUAGUGUCCUAGGCUCGCGUCUCUAGUUCGGUCUAGCCUAGGACCAGCACAGUACCGUCGUUGAGCGUUUAUUCAACAUUGCAUCUUUGAAUUGAUUAUUGCUAAUCUUUUGCUACCAUAUAUAGCCAACCCAGCUCCAUAUAUUUCUACACCAUGUAUACGUACGCUCCCCUGGCAAUCGCUUUACUCAAUAUUCGGAGUUACUUGACACCGCUGGUUGCCGAUCACCGCCUGCUGCAUGGUAAGAACUUGUAAGACAUUGAUAUUUGCUUUACUGUGAGCGUUUUACCACCACAUCCUAGUAGUUAUAGGAACAUUAUUUUUGGGUUUUGUUUCUUGUUCUACCAAUCAUGACAGGAUCCAGAGUCAAUUCAUGGGCUUUGUUGAUCGCCGGAGACGUGCCACCACCUUUGCAAAUACCACAACCGUCACGAGAGGUGCACAAACAUCCAAAUGCACAUGAUCAGGUUAAUGUAUCUAUACCACCAUUUAAUGGCCGUUUUAAACCUGCUUUAUAUAUUGAAUGGGAGUUCGACAUAAAAAAUAUAUUUGCUUCCCAUAAUUUCGAUGAACAUAAAAAGGUUAAGGUUGCGGUUGGUUCUUUCACUGGUUAUGCUUUGGUUUGGUGGAGUCAAUAUUGUCGGUUACACCCUGAUUAUAUACCUACUACUUGGGAUGAUUUGAAACUUGCCAUGCGACAUACUUUCGUCCCUGCUUAUUAUACUCGUGACAUGAUUAAGAAGUUGCAACACUUAAAACAAGGUAGUGAAACUGUAACAAAAUAUUAUGAUGAUUUACAAACUACCUUGUUGCAUUCCUCUUUAGAAGAAAGUGAAGAUGAUUUUAUGGAUAGAUUUUGGGGAGGAUUAAACCGUGAUAUUCAAGAGAUACUAAUUCAUGAAGAGUGUUAUCCUAUGGACCAUUUGUUUCAUCUUGCUUGCAAAGCUGAACAGGAAAUAAAACGACGUGUUGGCCACGAGGAGAACAAGCGCACGGUGCACAUUCCAAGAGUUGAUAUGAUUGUUCCUUCAACUACUAGGCAUACUAUGACAACCACAUCCGUUGUUGUCAGGACUACAUCACCUCCACCGUGUGACACAUCGCCCCCGAGAGUGGCUACAUCAUCUGAGUUGAUCAUAAGAGGUAAUGACAAAGGUACUGAUCUUCCAUCUCUACAUGAGAAUGAUGAAUGCCUUGUCAAUUUGAAUGCACCAUCUGAUGAGCUACCCACUACUUUGAUCACACCACCUAUUUUAGAGGACUAUGUUGAUAAUUUGACUUUGCCAUGUGAUCAAACAACUGAAAUACCAACAAUUUUGAGUGCACCCAUUGAAUUAACUAUUGAUGCAAAAGAACCAAUGUUUAAUCAUUUUGAUAUGACCUCUAAUCUUGGUGAUGAUUCUGUGUUGAAUGACUUAUUGCAUGUUUGCUUAUUUAAGCAUGUUGUAGCAUGUAAAUUUGAUGCAAGUAAGGUUUAUUCACCAAUGUUGGGAUGGUUUAAUGAUGAACAUUGUCAAUCUUUUGAAAUGAAUAAGAGCUUCACUUAUAUGUGCAAACUGAGUUGCAAUAUUUUCAUGCCUUCUACUUCCUGUGCUAAUUUUUUGGCUUUAGAUUUUAUGAACUAUGCAAGUUACUCAUCUAUUCAUGUGUCAUAUAUGCAAAAAUCAAGGGAAGUAAAAAUGGAUGACAUAUAUAUAUACAACAUGUACACCUUGUCUCUUUUGUUAGCCACAUUUCAGAUUAAGCAACGCCGAGGACGGCUUUAUUUUCAAGAAGGGGAGGAUGAUGAGGACAUGACUACCUUGGAUAUGACCAAAAAUAUUGCAUAUAUGCAUAUUUGUCAGGUGAUUUCUAGUGCAAACUAUUCAAUAAUCUAUUUAUGUUAUCCAGAACAAAAAUACUUCACACACUUUUGUGUUUUGUCUAAUUGCAGGUGUAUGGGACAUUUGUACAAUCUACAUAUGAAGAUAAGGAAGAAAGAGAUGUUUAUUUGCUGUCCAAAAAGUUCUCUCACGUCACUUUUGGCCCAAGAGAAGAUAGAGUCCAAGUCUCUCACGUUCUGGAUUCAGAUUCGGACUGCACAGACAUACCUGACUCAAAACGCACACAAGUUUUUCAUACGGACUCCGAAUUGGGUGAUUCUUUUUUUGUUGGAAACUAGAUUUCGUGCACUUUCCAACCCAAUUGGAAUCACCUUCAAAUUCGUCCGGAGCGUUGAGUUGUGGACGAAACAAUCUGAUGCUGCAGUAGAAUCCGAGUCAAACUACAAGUCCAAAGGUGUUACAUCACCUCCACUUGGGCCCAUUGGCCUUGUACGACCUAGAUUUAGUUUUAGGCUGCCUUGGGACGUCCUCCCACCUCCUUGGCCGCCACCCCUUGCUCCUAUAUAAGUAGAUCCAUCUAGUAGCUUUUCCUUGGGAUUUGUUUAGUUAAAAGUUAGCCAUUGCAACUUCGUGUACUUUGUUUGUGUUCAACGACCAGACAAAGGCGUCACAGAACCCCACCUUGAUCAAUAAAGCUUUCAUCUUAUAUUCGCAAUAUCCAGAUUGCAAUCUUAGUUUCUUGCUUGUUCUUCGUUUGCUCGCAGGAAACAGACCCUCGUGGUCAGGUUGAUCGUGCUCCGGCGUGGUCAAUAACCUCUCGGAGUUGGUUUAGCGAUUGCUAAGGCGCGACGUCCUCGCACGUUCGUAGUCGGAUCGUCAAAGUCGACUUCCACCAAAGCGAAAUCCACCAUCUCAUCGAAAGACGGGACACCUUUGCCUCUAUCACCCAGCUCCACAUAUUUCUACACCGUGUAUACGUACGCUCCCCUGGCAAUCGCUUUACUCAAUAUUCGGAGUUACUUGACACCGCUGGUUGCCGAUCACCGCCUGCUGCAUGGUAAGAACUUGUAAGACAUUGAUAUUUGCUUUACUGUGAGCGUUUUACCACCACAUCCUAGUAGUUAUAGGAACAUUAUUUUUGGGUUUUGUUUCUUGUUCUACUAAUCAUGACAGGAUCCAGAGUCAAUUCAUGGGUUUUGUCGAUCGCGGGAGACGUGCCACCACCUUUGCAAAUACCACAACCGUCACGAGAGGUGCACAAACAUCCAAAUGCACAUGAUCAGGUUAAUGUAUCUAUACCACCAUUUCAUGGCCGUUUUAAACCUGCUUUAUAUAUUGAAUGGGAGUUCGACAUAAAAAAUAUAUUUGCUUCCCAUAAUUUCAAUGAACAUAAAAAGGUUAAGGUUGCGGUUGGUUCUUUCACUGGUUAUGCUUUGGUUUGGUGGAGUGAAUAUUGUCGGUUACACCCUGAUUAUAUACCUACUACUUGGGAUGAUUUGAAACUUGCCAUGCGACAUACUUUCGUCCCUGCUUAUUAUACUCGUGACAUGAUUAAGAAGUUGCAACACUUAAAACAAGGUAGUGAAACUGUAACAAAAUAUUAUGAUGAUUUACAAACUACCUUGUUGCAUUCCUCUUUAGAAGAAAGUGAAGAUGAUUUUAUGGAUAGAUUUUGGGGAGGAUUAAACCGUGAUAUUCAAGAGAUACUAAUUCAUGAAGAGUGUUAUCCUAUGGACCAUUUGUUUCAUCUUGCUUGCAAAGCUGAACAGGAAAUAAAACGACGUGUUGGUCACGAGGAGAACAAGCGCACGGUGCACAUUCCAAGAGUUGAUAUGAUUGUUCCUUCAACUACUAGGCAUACUAUGACAACCACAUCCGUUGUUGUCAGGACUACAUCACCUCCACCAUGUGACACAUCGCCCCCGAGAGUGGCUACAUCAUCUGAGUUGAUCAUAAGAGGUAAUGACAAAGGUACUGAUCUUCCAUCUCUACAUGAGAAUGAUGAAUGCCUUGUCAAUUUGAAUGCACCAUCUGAUGAGCUACCCACUACUUUGAUCACACCACCUAUUUUAGAGGACUACGUUGAUAAUUUGACUUUGCCAUGUGAUCAAACAACUGAAAUACCAACAAUUUUGAGUGCACCCAUUGAAUUAACUAUUGAUGCAAAAAAACCAAUGUUGAAUCAUUUUGAUAUGACCUCUAAUCUUGGUGAUGAUUCUGUGUUGAAUGACUUAUUGCAUGUUUGCUUAUUUAAGCAUGUUGUAGCAUGUAAAUUUGAUGCAAGUAAGGUUUAUUCACCAAUGUUGGGAUGGUUUAAUGAUGAACAUUGUCAAUCUUUUGAAAUGAAUAAGAGCUUCACUUAUAUGUGCAAACUGAGUUGCAAUAUUUUCAUGCCUUCUACUUCUUGUGCUAAUUUUUUGGCUUUAGAUUUUAUGAACUAUGCAAGUUACUCAUCUAUUCAUGUGUCAUAUAUGCAAAAAUCAAGGGAAGUAAAAAUGGAUGACAUAUACAUAUACAACAUGUACACCUUGUCUCUUUUGUUAGCCACAUUUCAGAUUAAGCAACGCCGAGGACGACUUUAUUUUCAAGAAGGGGAGGAUGAUGAGGACAUGACUACCUUGGAUAUGACCAAAAAUAUUGCAUAUAUGCAUAUUUGUCAGGUGAUUUCUAGUGCAAACUAUUCAAUAAUCUAUUUAUGUUAUCCAGAACAAAAAUACUUCACACACUUUUGUGUUUUGUCUAAUUGCAGGUGUAUGGGACAUUUGUACAAUCCACAUAUGAAGAUAAGGAAGAAAGAGAUGUUUAUUUGCUGUCCAAAAAGUUCUCUCAUGUCACUUUUGGCCCAAGAGAAGAUAGAGUCCAAGUCUCUCACGUUCUGGAUUCAGAUUCGGACUGCACAGACACACCUGACUCAAAACGCACACAAGUUUUUCAUACGGACCCCGAAUUGGGUGAUUCUUCUUUUGUUGGAAACUAGAUUUCGUGCACUCUCCAACCCAAUUGGAAUCACCUUCAAAUUCGUCCGGAGCGUUGAGUUGUGGACGAAACAAUCUGAUGCUGCAGCAGAAUCCGAGUCAAACUACAAGUCCAAAGGUGUUACAUCACCUCCACUUGGGCCCAUUGGCCUUGUACGACCUAGAUUUAGUUUUAGCUGCCUUGGGACGUCCUCCCACCUCCUUGGCCGCCACCCCUUGCUCCUAUAUAAGUAGAUCCAUCUAGUAGCUUUUCCUGGGGAUUUGUUUAGUUAAAAGUUAGCCAUUGCAACUUCGUGUACUUCGUUUGUGUCCAACGACCAGACCAAGACCGCUUCCGGAUCCCCACCAUUAUCAAUACUUCAUAUAUAUUUGCAAUAUUCAGAUUGCUUUAUCAUAUUCUUGCUCGUUCUUCGAUUGCUUGCAGGAACAGACCUUCGUGGUCAGGCUGACCGUGCUUCCAGCAUCGUCAGUAACCUCAGGAGAUUGGUUUAGCGAUUGCUAAGGCGCAACGUCGUGCACGUUUGUAGUCGGAUUGUCAAAGUCGUCUCCACCAAAUCGAUAGUUAUCAUCUCAUCGAAAGAUCAGGACCCUCGCCUCUAUCACAAGAUGUUGAUUGAGUUGAGAAGAUUCACAAAUGGCAAAUAAGACAAAUAGAUCAACCUUCCAAGAUAACACGAGGAACACACACACGAAAGAUAAAUGGGAUCCGCACAACCAAGGGGUGAGCUCGAAGAUAUGGAAUUACGGGAAAAGCUCUUGUUGUACGGAUACUAGAGAGAUGCUAGCUCGAUUGCACUAAUGGGCUAGAUACGCUAGUGCACCAACCUAAUAGAGAAUCCACUCGUCUCACUAUCCCAAGUAUGCUUAUGUAUGUGGUGCCCAAGAUGAUGCACGUAUGCUAAGGCUCGAUGCUAUUACUUAUAAGCUCUUUGCUUCUCUUCUCUUUUGCUUAAAAGCUUUUUCUUUUUUUCAACUAUGCCAUGAUGCUUGAUAUAUGAGCCGUACAACGAGGUAACAAGUAGUAAAUGCACGGGAUACUAAAUGGUGCACUAAGGCGUGGCCCGACAAUACUCAACAAACUAGUCUCGAUGGGUAAGCUAUGCAAAAUGGCUCAAAGUUAUCAAGUUAAUGGCAAGGGAGUACAAGGUGUCGUCGAGGUUACCGUCCUUGCUUACGGUCAAAGAUGAUCUUGUCGAAGCCGAAGUGUUGUCCGAGUCGAUGAUUGAUAGAGGCAAAGGUGUCCCGUCUUUCAAUGAGAUGAUGGAUAUCGCUUUGGUGGCAGUCGACUUUGACGAUCCGACUAUGAACGUGCGAGGAUGUCGCGCCUUAGCAAUCACUAAACCAACUCCGAGAAGUUAUUGACCACGCCAGAGCACGAUCAACUGACCACGAGGGUCUGUUUCCUGCGAACAAACGAAGAACAAGCAAGAAACUAAGAUUGCAAUCUGGAUAUUGCGAAUAUAAGAUGAAAGCUUUAUUGAUCAAGGUGGGGUUCUGUGACGCCUUUGUCUGGUCGUUGAACACAAACGAAGUACGCGAAGUUGCAGCUAUGGCGAACUUUUAAUCUAAACAAAACCCAAAGUCUAAACGGUGCCCUAAGGGCUGUAUAUAUGGAGGAAGAGAGGGGGAAUUUCGUGGCCCUUGGUGGAGGGGUCCGAAAUCAACCCUAUCUCUUGUUUCCCCACACAUACGGACUCUAAAAAUAGCCUAUACUUAUGUAUUUCGAAAUUACAUGGGCCUGGCCCAAUAAAAAGGUGACGCAACACCUAUAAUAGCCUCGGGACGAAAUUUAUGAAGUGGCAUCUUGUAUAUUUCGUCCAUGGCUUCAUGCACCCAUUAUGGUGGCUUCAAAGUCCUGAAAUCAUCACUUGUAACUCCGUUCUUGUUCCCCUUGCGCAUGGCAUCAUCUCCAUGCUUGUUCUUGCUCCAAUGUUCAUCCUUCUCCAAGCUAGGCCCUUCAUUUGUAAGCAAAACAAAUGUAUCCAAUUUAGGCAGCAUCAUAUUCUCAUGAACAUUAGAAUCAUUACCAAGAAACGAAAGUACCUGAUAAUUUAAUUGGCGUGCGCGAGCUCUAGUAAUUGGUCCCGUAUAUGUAGCAGUAGAGGCUGUGGGUGUAACAAUGGUAUUGAUGUCCUCAUCAUCCUCCCCUUCUUGAAAUGAAGUCGUCCUCGACGGAAACUCAUCUUCCUCACCCAAAUAAGGCUUCAAAUCUGCAAUGUUAAAAGUGGGACUAACCCCAAAAUCUGCAGGCAGCUCAAGUUUAUAUGCAUUAUCAUUUAUUUUCUCUAACACCUUAAAGGGACCAUCAGCACGUGGCAUUAGCUUUGAUUUGCGCAAAUCAGGAAAUCUAUCCUUACGCAAAUGUAACCAAACAAGAUCUCCAGGUGCAAACACAACAUGUUUUCUACCCUUAUCUCCAGCAAGUUUAUAUUUAGCAUUCAUACGCUCAAUGUUUUCCUUAGUUAACUCAUGCAUUUUUAAAAUCAAUUCAGCAUGUUGUUUAGCAUCAAAAUUAACCUUCUCCGAAGAUGGAAGAGGCAACAAAUCAAUAGGUGCACGAGGUAGGAAACCAUACACAACUUCAAAAGGGCACAUCUUAGUAGUAGAAUGCAAUGAACGAUUAUAAGCAAAUUCAAUAUGUGGCAAGCAUUCCUCCCACAUUUUCUUAUUAUUCUUCAAAACAGCCCUAAGCAUAGUAGACAACGUUCUAUUGACUACUUCAGUUUGUCCAUCAGUUUGGGGGUGACAAGUAGUACUAAAAAGCAGUUUAGUCCCCAACUUAGCCCAUAAACAUCUCCAAAAGUGGCUAAGAAAUUUAGUAUCACGAUCUGAAACAAUAGUAUUUGGCACACCAUGCAAGCGAAUAAUUUCACGAAAGAACAAAUCAGCAACAUUAACAGCAUCAUCGCUUUUAUGACAUGGUAUAAAGUGUGCCAUUUUUCGAGAAUCUAUCCACGACAACAAAUAUGCUAUCCCUCCCCUUCUUUGUUCGAGGUAAACCUAAAACAAAGUCCAUAGAUAUAUCCUCCCAAGGAACACUAGGUACAGGCAAAGGCAUAUAUAAACCAUGAGGAUUGAGUCGUGACUUAGCUUUUUGACAUGUAGUGCAUCGAGCAAUAAAACGCUCAACAUCCCAUCUCAUCUUUGGCCAAAAGAAAUGUGUAGCAAGUACGUCCUCCGUCUUCUUCACGCCAAAGUGUCCCAUUAAUCCUCCUCCAUGCGCCUCCUGCAACAACAAAAGACGAACGGAGCUAGCUGGAAUGCAUAGCUUGUUAGCACGAAACACAAAUCCAUCGUUAACGACGAACUUGUUCCACAUUCUUCCUUCUUUACAAUUCUGCAUUACAUCUUUAAAAUCAGCAUCAUGCACAUAUUGAUCUUUGAUGGUCUCCAAACCAAAUAUUUUGAAGCCAAGUUGUGAAAGCAUAGUAUAGCGGCGAGACAAUGCAUCAGCAAUAACAUUUUCUUUUUCCUUCUUGUGUUUAAUGACAUAAGGAAAAGUCUCAAUGAAUUCAACCCAUUUAGCAUGUCUAUGAUUCAGUUUAGCUUGACUUUUAAUAUGUUUCAAAGAUUCAUGAUCAGAAUGUAUAACAAAUUCUUUGGGCCAUAAAUAAUGUUGCUUUUCUAAAGUCCGAACAAGAGCAUAUAAUUCUUUAUCAUAAGUAGAAUAAUUCAGACUAGGCCCACUCAAUUUUUCAGAAAAGUAUGCAACAGGUUUGCCAUCUUGUAAUAACACACCGCCUAAUCCAAUUCCACUAGCAUCACAUUCAAGCUCAAAAGUCUUAUUAAAAUCAGGAAGUUGGAGUAAAGGAGCAUCUGUCAACUUAUCUUUCAAUACCGAGAAGGCUUCUUCCUGUGCGGUACCCCAAAGAAAAGGCACAUCUUUCUUUGUAAGCUCAUUGAGAGGUGCAGCAAUGGUGCUGAAAUCUCUCACAAAACGCCUAUAGAACCCAGCGAGGCCAAGAAAACUCCUCACUUGUGUGACCGUUUUGGGUUGCGGCCAACUCUCAAUAGCUUCAAUCUUGGCUUUAUCAACUUCAAUUCCUUGUGGAGUAACAACAUAGCCAAGAAAAGAUACUCGGUCGGUGCAAAAGGUGCACUUCCCAAGGUUACCAAACAAACGUGCAUCACGUAGAGCAAUAAAAACAGCACGUAAAUGUUCCAAAUGUUCUUCCAAAGAUCUGCUAUAAAUCAAUAUGUCAUCAAAGUAAACUACCACAAAUCGUCCAAUGAAAGCACGUAAAACUUCGUUCAUUAAUCUCAUGAAAGUACUAGGUGCAUUAGUUAACCCAAAAGGCAUGACUAACCACUCAUAUAAUCCAAACUUAGUUUUGAAUGCUGUUUUCCAUUCAUCUCCCAAUUUCAUACGAAUUUGAUGGUAUCCACUACGCAAAUCAACUUUGGAGAAUAUUGUAGAGCCACUCAAUUCAUCAAGCAUAUCAUCUAGCCUAGGAAUAGGAUGACGAUAAUGAAUAGUAAUAUUAUUAAUGCCUCUACAAUCAACACACAUACUGAUGUACCAUCCUUUUUCGGCACUAGAAUAAUAGGAACAACACAAGGACUAAGGGAUUCGCGUAUAUAACCUUUGUCGAGAAGCUCUUGUACUUGACGCAUAAUCUCCUUCGUCUCCUCUGGAUUGGUACGGUAUGGUGCACAGUUUGGCAGUGAAGCACCGGGAAUUAAGUCAAUCUGAUGCUCAAUCCCUCGAAUAGGCGGUAAUACCGGUGGCACGUUGAUAGAGGCAAAGGUGUCCCGUCUUUCGAUGAGAUGGUGGAUUUCGCUUUGGUGGAAGUCGACUUUGACGAUCCGACUACGAACGUGCGAGGACGUCGCGCCUUAGCAAUCGCUAAACCAACUCCGAGAGGUUAUUGACCACGCCGGAGCACGAUCAACCUGACCACGAGGGUCUGUUUCCUGCGAGCAAACGAAGAACAAGCAAGAAACUAAGAUUGCAAUCUGGAUAUUGCGAAUAUAAGAUGAAAGCUUUAUUGAUCAAGGUGGGGUUCUGUGACGCCUUUGUCUGGUCGUUGAACACAAACGAAGUACGCGAAGUUGCAGCUAUGGCGAACUUUUAAUCUAAACAAAACCCAAAGUCUAAACGAUGCCCUAAGGGCUGUAUAUAUGGAGGAAGAGGGGGGGAGGGAAUUUCGUGGCCCUUGGUGGAGGGGUCCGAAAUCAACCCUAUCUCUUGUUUCCCCACACAUACGGACUCUAAAAAUAGCCUAUACUUAUGUAUUUCGAAAUUACAUGGGCCUGGCCCAAUAAUAAGGUGACGCAGCACCUAAAAUAGCCUCGGGACGAAAUUUAUGAAGUGGCAUCUUGUAUAUUUCGUCCAAGGCUUCAUGCACCCAUUAUGGUGGCUUCAAAGUCCUGAAAUCAUCACUUGUAACUCCGUUCUUGUUUCCCUUGCGCAUGCCAUCAUCUCCAUGCUUGUUCUUGCUCCAAUGUUCAUCCUUCUCCAAGCUAGGCCCUUCAUUUGUAAGCAAAACAAAUGUAUCCAAUUUAGGCAGCAUCAUAUUCUCAUGAACAUUAGAAUCAUUACCAAGAAACGAAAGUACCUGGUAAUUUAGUUGGCGUGCACGAGCUCUAGUAAUUGGUCCAGUAUGUAUAGCAGCUGGGGUUGUGGGUGUAACAAUUGUAUUGAUGUCCUCAUCACACGUCUUGUGGAAAGACGUCAGCGAACUCCUGCAAAAUGUUAGUGACAGCAGGAGGCAAAGAGGAAGGCACGUCCUCGAAUGAAAAUAAUGCCUCUUUGCACACAAAAGCAUAGCAAACAGAUUUGCUGAAAUCUAGCUCAUCAAUAUCAGAUUUGGUGGCAAAUAAACAUGCACUUUUCAAUUUAAUUUCAGAAGCACCACUAGAUGGUUUAUUAUUAGGCUUCAUUUGUUGCUCAAAUUCUUUUGCCACAAUCUGAUUUUCACUCUUAUGCGUCUCCUGUUUUGCUUUAUUAGCUCUGUUAAUAUCAUCUUUCAAAAUGGAAUCAGGAGUCAUAGGAAGCAAAGUAAUAUUUUUAUCCUUAUGAACAAGAGUAUAGUGAUUGUUUCUACCAUGGUGUACAGAAUUUUUAUCAAAUUGCCAUGGUCUACCAAGUAAUAAGGAACAUGCUUGCAUAGGUACCACAUCACAAUCAGCAUAAUCAGCAUAUGUAGAGAUACUAAAAUGCACACGAACAGUACGUGUUACCUUAACCUUGCCGCUGUUGUUGAACCAUUGGAUGUAGUAAGGAUGUGGAUGUGGUCUUGUGGUGAGAGAAAGCUUCUCCACCAUCUCCAUGCUAGCCAAGUUGUUGCAGCUCCCUCCGUCUAUGAUGACGCGCACAUAACGUUCCUUCACAACUCCCUUGGUAUGGAACAAAUUGUGCCUCUGAUUUUGCUCAGCUUGUGUGAUCUGCACACUCAAAACACGUUGAGCAAACAUUCAUACCUGUCAGCGUCUUCAGGAGCCAUGUAUUGCAUCUCGUGAUCAGAAUCAUCUCCACCAUGUUCUUCACGUGUAAUAAGAGCCAAAGUCUCCUCAUCAUAGUCACUAGCAGACUCAUAUCCACCAUCCGCGGUAGCAAUCAUCACACGCGGAGAUUUGCAUUCUCUCGCAUAAUGACCUCCUCCCUUACAACGACGACAAAUAAUAUCACUUGUGUGCCCUGUUGAUGCCAUGGAAGAAGAAGAAUGCUAUGCAGGCCCCGCAGGUGCGCUCUUGGCAGAUAAUGGUGGCUGUGCCUGUUUUCUUGUAUCACGGCUGGAGGUGGCACCGGAUGGAGUUGCUGGUGCAGUUGAAGUAGAAGAUGCACGUGGUGUCCAUGAUGAAGGUCGGCCUGCAGAAAAGUUUGUUCGCCCCAAUGCUUGUCGAUCCUGCACUUCACGUUCAGCUUUACAAGCAAGAUGGAAUAAACGAGUGAUAUUAGUAUACUCCUUAUAGUCUAGAAUGGUCUGAAUCUCUCUAUUUAAUCACCCAGAAAACGUGCAAGCAUAGCUUCAUUCUCCUCAACAAUACCACAUCUAAUCAUGCCAGUUUGUAAUUCCUGAUAAUAUUCUUCUACGGAAUUUUUCCCUUGUCUUAAACGCUGCAAUUUUUGAAGCAAUUCACGUUGAUAUGGUGGAACCCAACGCGUACGCAUAGCAGUUUUCAAAGCAGCCCAAGUAGUUGGAAUAGGAUAUAAUCUACAAUGUUCAGACCACCAUACACAUGCAAAACUAGUGAAAGCACAAACAGCAGCAGCAACUCGUCUCUCCUCAGGAUAUUGUAAACAUGUAAAUCGUUGUUCAGUUUCUAACUCCCAAGUAAGAUAUAUAUCAGGAACAUAUCUACCCUCAAAUGGUGGAAUAUUCAAUUUCAGUUUAGGAAUAUGGACAUCAUCUCGUACCUGAGGUGGUGGUGCAGGCCUACCAUUAUGAAUAUAUACCUGAGGUCGACCUGCUGGUGGUGGUACAGGUGGCUGCACGUAGUGCUGAUUUUGAUCAACCUCAUCCUCAUAAUCUCCCACAUAAUCAUCCUCCUCCGCAUCAGCAGCAGGAGCCACAGAAGUUUCAACAGCAGCACCAACAGUUUGGCCAAACGCAAGAGGAACACGGCUCGCUCGGCGAAGGUCUGUUUCGCGACGUGGAAGUAGUCGUUGUUGUUGUUAUUGUUGGAGAGGUGCGUUAGGUGCAGCGGGUGGUGGUGGUGGAAGACGCGCGAGCAAUUCAUUAAACUUGUUAUCGAGCUUUGUUUCGAACGUCUUCUCAAGGCCAGUGAUCUUCUCCAUGGCCUCAUCAAAAUUGUUCAGCACAUCUUGCACCUGUUCAGUCAUCAUUUGCUGAAACUUAUCAUGAAGCUCCUUGUUUGAUAAAUUCUCCCAGUCAAUCUCGUCGGCUUGUGAUCCUGGCAUGGUUAGCAGCAAUAGAAACACACAAGAAUAUGAUCCUACAGACUACGAACAAGUGGUGGUGGUGGGUGUCACAAAUCCGUCAAGCAAAACUCAAAUUCUUACCAGUUCUUACCCAGCAACAGGCGGUGAUCGGCAACCGUUGUAGUCAAAACUCUCAAAGCUUGGAUAGAGCGAUUACCAGGGAGAGUCAAACGCACGACGUAGAUGUAUGUGGAGCUGGGAAGGCUUAUAAUAUGGUAGCAAAAAGGGUCAGCAAUAAUCAAUUCAGAGAUGCAAAGUUGAAUAAACGCUCAACGAGGGUACUGUGCUGGUCCUAGGCUAGACUGUGCUAGAGACGCGAGCCUAGAACACCAACAAAAUCAUGGCGCGGCACGUAAACAAGGGAGGAGCACACUCUGAAUUUUUUCUCUCUUUUUUUUGCACUUUUUUUCCUCUUUUUUUUUUGCUCCGCAACAAAUUUUUUUCAAAAAAGUCUACAAAUGGUCUAAAAACUGCCUAGCCAGAGUUUUUUUUUUGAAAUUGGAACUAUUUUUCUUCUGCGGAUGGCUCAGAAGUUGGGGAGUCCUUCUGUGUCACGACUCGGAGUAUCCCGUGAUCUGGAAAUCGAGAACAAUGCAACAAUUACUGGACUCGGACUAGGACUGGUGGCGGAGAUGAAUCUGGUGGAACUCGGACUGGUGGCGGAGAUGAAUCUGGUGGAACACGGACAGGUGGCGGAUAUAUGUUGCAGGUGAACUCAGAGUGGCGUGAUGGCGGCGGAUAUGUGGUGGCGUAUAUGGAUUCGGAUUGGCGGUGAAUAUGUGGUGGUGGUAUAUGGCAACAGCGACGAUGAUGAUGCGGUGGUGAUAUAUGGUAGCGGCGACGUGACAACCUGUGAACAGAACUCGAAGCUCUAAAAGACUAGACACUAAGACCAGCAACUGGACACGACGAUGCAACUAUAAAUUCAACAAAGCAAAUACAGAAAAGAUUAUGCAAGGCUCAGAUUGGUUCGGAUGGGAUGAACUAACCAUAAUUUUUUUUGGCUUUUUCGUGGACUAUAGGUAUGAAGAACAGACUCGAUCUAAACUACGAAAAACUGUAAAAUCUCACCGAGCAACCUGGAAAUCUGAUACCACUUGAUAGAGGCAAAGGUGUCCCGUUUUUCGAUGAGAUGAUGGAUAUCACUUUGGUGGCAGUCAACUUUGACGAUCCGACUACGAACGUGCGAGGACGUCGCGCCUUAGCAAUCACUAAACCAACUCCGAGAGGUUAUUGACCACGCCGGAGCAUGAUCAACCUGACCACGAGGGUCUGUUUCCUCCGAGCAAACGAAGAACAAGCAAGAAACUAAGAUUGCAAUCUGGAUAUUGCGAAUAUAAGAUGAAAGCUUUAUUGAUCAAGUUGGGGUUCUGUGACGCCUUUGUCUGGUCGUUGAACACAAACGAAGUACGCGAAGUUGCAGGUAUGGCGAACUUUUAAUCUAAACAAAACCCAAAGUCUAAACGGUGCCCUAAGGGCUGUAUAUAUGGAGGAAGAGAGGGGGAAUUUCGUGGCCCUUGGUGGAGGGGUCCGAAAUCAACCCUAUCUCUUGUUUCCCCACACAUACGGACUCUAAAAAUAGCCUAUACUUAUGUAUUUCGAAAUUACAUGGGCCUGGCCCAAUAAAAAGGUGACGCAGCACCUAUAAUAGCCUCGGGACGAAAUUUAUGAAGUGGCAUCUUGUAUAUUUCGUCCAUGGCUUCAUGCACCCAUUAUGGUGGCUUCAAAGUCCUGAAAUCAUCACUUGUAACUCCGUUCUUGUUCCCCUUGCGCAUGGCAUCAUCUCCAUGCUUGUUCUUGCUCCAAUGUUCAUCCUUCUCCAAGCUAGGCCCUUCAUUUGUAAGCAAAACAAAUGUAUCCAAUUUAGGCAACAUCAUAUUCUCAUGAACAUUAGAAUGAUUACCAAGAAACGAAAGUACCUGAUAAUUUAAUUGGCGUGCGCGAGCUCUAGUAAUUGGUCCCGUAUAUGUAGCAGUAGGGGCUGUGGGUGUAUCAAUGGUAUUGAUGUCCUUAUCAAUGAUUGGUGGCGAUGAUGAUACCAACUUGCGCCUAAGUAGCCGAAACACCUUAGGACACAAGAGAAAUCGCAACCGAACACUCAACAAACACAUGGAAUGGUGCGGAAGAACACGAGAGGUGUUGAAACAAAAUGAAAAAAAUUAAAAAAUGGCCGAAACUUCCUGGAUAGCCCGUGCGCACGGGGUAAGUGAGGCCCGUGUGCACGGGGUCCCGUGUGCACGGGGUCCCGAUGGCCCGUGUGCAUGGGGUCUCCCGAGAGCGGAUGAACUGAUCUGAUUUUGUGGUGAUUGCAAGUUUUUGGCCAAAUUCUAGUGGGGGAAGGGUGGGGAUGAUGUUGGAGGUGUAGAUCCACUUGCUAAACACCAAAUUCGUGGAUCAAAUCAACCAAAUCUCACAAGAUCAACAAAUUGCAAGAAAAUUUUUUGGGGCUAUUUUUGGUGGGGAUUUUCGGAUUAGGACGAAAAACAACAAAAUCAAGCUAGAAAGUGGAAGGUAGGGACUCCAAGAUGUGAAUCAACGUGGCUCAUGAUACCAAGAUGAUGUAGGUAGAACCCUAGGAAGGACCUUUUCACACUUGGAGGGGGGAAAAAGGAGAGAAACCACAAGAACAACAAGAACACAAAGAUGAACACAAGAGGUAAUCACUCCAACAAUUCCCGAUUACACAUCCACUAGAGUAACAACACAAGAUCCACAAGUCACCAACACAAUCAAAGGAAAGAUACAAUGGCAAAGUUCAUCCCAAAUCCAAAGGAAGAGGGGUCUUGAAGGUAGUCUUCUCCCAAUGGAGGUCUUGAAAUCCUCAAGGAUUCUUCCCUAUGGGGUCUUGAUCCUCAAAGAGGGAAGGUAAUGGAGCAAAGCUCACCAAGAUCUCAUGAUGAGGACAUGACUACCUUGGAUAUGACCAAAAAUAUUGCAUAUAUGCAUAUUUGUCAGGUGAUUUCUAGAGCAAACUAUUCAAUAAUCUAUUUAUGUUAUCCAGAACAAAAAUACUUCAGACACUUUUGUGUUUUGUCUAAUUGCAGGUGUAUGGGACAUUUGUCCAAUCCACAUGUGAAGAUAAGGAAGAAAGAGAUGUUUAUUUGCUGUCCAAAAAAUUCUCUCACGUCACUUUUGGCCCAAGAGAAGAUAGAGUCCAAGUCUCUCACGUUCUGGAUUCAGAUUCGGACUGCACAGACAUACCUGACUCAAAACGCACACAAGUUUUUCAUACGGACUCCUAAUUGGGUGAUUCUUUUUUUGUUGGAAACUAGAUUUCGUGCACUUUCCAACCCAAUUGGAAUCACCUUCAAAUUCGUCCGGAGCAUUGAGUUGUGGACGAAACAAUCUGAUGCUGCAGCAGAAUCCGAGUCAAACUACAAGUCCAAAGGUGUUACAUCACCUCCACUUGGGCCCAUUGGCCUUGUACGACCUAGAUUUAGUUUUAGGCUGCCUUGGGACGUCCUCCCACCUCCUUGGCCGCCACCCCUUGCUCCUAUAUAAGUAGAUCCAUCUAGUAGCUUUUCCUUGGGAUUUGUUUAGUUAAAAGUUAGCCAUUGCAACUUCGUGUACUUCGUUUGUGUCCAACGACCAGACCAAGACCGCUUCCGGAUCCCCACCAUUAUCAAUACUUCAUAUUUAUUUGCAAUAUUCAGAUUGCUUUAUCAUAUUCUAGCUCGUUCUUCGAUUGCUUGCAGGAAUAGACCUUCGUGGUCAGGCUGACCGUGCUUCCAGCAUCGUCAGUAACCUCAGGAGAUUGGUUUAGCGAUUGCUAAGGCGCAACGUCGUGCACGUUUGUAGUCGGAUCGUCAAAGUCGUCUCCACCAAAUCGAUAGUUAUCAUCUCAUUGAAAGAUCGGGACCCCGCCUCUAUCAAGUGGUAUCAGUUUUCAGGUUGCUCGGUGAGAAUUUCUAGUUUUCCUAGAUUAGAUUUAUUUUCUUACCUAUUGUCCAAGAAAAACCACAAAAAAGAGUUAGAUCUAUUCAUCCUUUGUCCUAGCUAGACUGAGCCUUUGCAAUUUUCUUUUCAUUGUUUGCAUUAUUGAAUUAUCGGUUGCAUCGCCGUGUCGAGUUGCUGGUCUUAGUGUCUAGUUCCUUUAGAGUUUUGAGUUCUGUUCACAUUAGUCACGCAGCCGCUGCAUCAUUAUCCCAUCCACUGUCCACCAUCCCAUCCACCAAUUUCCACCACGUGCUACGCACUGUUUAUUGUCAUAAUCAUAGUUGAGGUCACUCACAUCUUCGCCUGAUUGAAUCUGCAUCUUAUCUAGUUUGUCUUGGAAAGGGGGAGAAAAAGAAGAUAAAGAAAAAAAAGAGAGAAAAAAGGAAAGAAAAAAUAGAAAAAGAGGGAGAAGAAAAAGAAAAAAAAAGCGUGAGAAAAAAAAGAGAGAAGAAAAAAAAUUGGAUCUAUCUAGAAUCAAUCUCGUACCUGAAUUCGGAUUGGAAUCUGUUUUGCGCACUGUUCGGUAAAAUAGGUGUAUCUUCCUCAUACGAAGUCCGUUUUGGCUCCGUGAGAACUCAAAUUGAAGAUAGUGACGAGCCGCAUCUAAAUAGUUGCAGAAGCUAGGUCAAUAUUUGACACCUCAAAAUCGGCUUCUAAAUAGGUCUUUUUGCCCUCCGAAGUUCGUGAACACAGCUUGUUCCAAUUUUUUAGGCCAGUUUUAGAAUUCUUUGACUCCUCAUAUCAACUCGGAAUUGAGUGAUUCUUUUUGAAUUGGAAAGCUUGAGUUAGUAGCAUUCUUUGAAAGAAUUUAUCAGAAAAUUGUCUCAAACUUUUUAAGAGGAAAGUUGGAGAGAGAGUUGUUGUAUAUCCUGCUUGGCAGUUGUUUUUCAUCAUUAUCUUCACUGCCGUUGUGAUCUUCACUUAUAUCUUGCUGUCAAGAGCUACUUAGUAUCCUUCAUUGAUGCUAGUUGUGCUACGCCGUGACCUCAUUAGUGUUCUAGGCUCGCGCCUCUAGUCCGGUCUAGCCUAGGACCAGCACAGUACCGUCGUUGAGCGUUUAUUCAACAUUGCAUCUUUGAAUUGAUUAUGGCUAAUCUUUUGCUACCAUAUAUAGCCAACCCAGCUCCACAUAUUUCUACACCGUGUAUACGUACGCUCCCCUGGCAAUCGCUUUACUCAAUAUUCGGAGUUACUUGACACCGCUGGUUGCCGAUCACCGCCUGCUGCAUGGUAAGAACUUGUAAGACAUUGAUAUUUGCUUUACUGUGAGCGUUUUACCACCACAUCCUAGUAGUUAUAGGAACAUUAUUUUUGGGUUUUGUUUCUUGUUCUACUAAUCAUGACAGGAUCCAGAGUCAAUUCAUGGGCUUUGUCGAUCGCGGGAGAUGUGCCACCACCUUUGCAAAUACCACAACCGUCACGAGAGGUGCACAAACAUCCAAAUGCACAUGAUCAGGUUAAUGUAUCUAUACCACCAUUUAAUGGCCGUUUUAAACCUGCUUUAUAUAUUGAAUGGGAGUUCGACGUAAAAAAUAUAUUUGCUUCCCAUAAUUUCAAUGAACAUAAAAAGGUUAAGGUUGCGGUUGGUUCUUUCACUGGUUAUGCUUUGGUUUGGUGGAGUGAAUAUUGUCGGUUACACCCUGAUUAUAUACCUACUACUUGGGAUGAUUUGAAACUUGCCAUGCGACAUACUUUCGUCCCUGCUUAUUAUACUCGUGACAUGAUUAAGAAGUUGCAACACUUAAAACAAGGUAGUGAAACUGUAACAAAAUAUUAUGAUGAUUUACAAACUACCUUGUUGCAUUCCUCUUUAGAAGAAAGUGAAGAUGAUUUUAUGGAUAGAUUUUGGGGAGGAUUAAACCGUGAUAUUCAAGAGAUACUAAUUCAUGAAGAGUGUUAUCCUAUGGACCAUUUGUUUCAUCUUGCUUGCAAAGCUGAACAGGAAAUAAAACGACGUGUUGGCCACGAGGAGAACAAGCGCACGGUGCACAUUCCAAGAGUUGAUAUGAUUGUUCCUUCAACUACUAGUCAUACUAUGACAACCACAUCCGUUGUUGUCAGGACUACAUCACCUCCACCAUGUGACACAUCGCCCCCGAGAGUGGCUACAUCAUCUGAGUUGAUCAUAAGAGGUAAUGACAAAGGUACUGAUCUUCCAUCUCUACAUGAGAAUGAUGAAUGCCUUGUCAAUUUGAAUGCACCAUCUGAUGAGCUACCCACUACUUUGAUCACACCACCUAUUUUAGAGGACUACGUUGAUAAUUUGACUUUGCCAUGUGAUCAAACAACUGAAAUACCAACAAUGUUGAGUGCACCCAUUGAAUUAACUAUUGAUGCAAAAGAACCAAUGUUUAAUCAUUUUGAUAUGACCUCUAAUCUUGGUGAUGAUUCUGUGUUGAAUGACUUAUUGCAUGUUUGCUUAUUUAAGCAUGUUGUAGCAUGUAAAUUUGAUGCAAGUAAGGUUUAUUCACCAAUGUUGGGAUGGUUUAAUGAUGAACAUUGUCAAUCUUUUGAAAUGAAUAAGAGCUUCACUUAUAUGUGCAAACUGAGUUGCAAUAUUUUCAUGCCUUCUACUUCUUGUGCUAAUUUUUUGGCUUUAGAUUUUAUGAACUAUGCAAGUUACUCAUCUAUUCAUGUGUCAUAUAUGCAAAAAUCAAGGGAAGUAAAAAUGGAUGACAUAUACAUAUACAACAUGUACACCUUAGCCACAUUUCAGAUUAAGCAACGCCGAGGACGGCUUUAUUUUCAAGAAGGGGAGGAUGAUGAGGACAUGACUACCUUGGAUAUGACCAAAAAUAUUGCAUAUAUGCAUAUUUGUCAGGUGAUUUCUAGUGCAAACUAUUCAAUAAUCUAUUUAUGUUAUCCAGAACAAAAAUACUUCACACACUUUUGUAUUUUGUCUAAUUGCAGGUGUAUGGGACAUUUGUGCAAUCCACAUAUGAAGAUAAGGAAGAAAGAGAUGUUUAUUUGCUGUCCAAAAAGUUCUCUCACGUCACUUUUGGCCCAAGAGAAGAUAGAGUCCAAGUCUCCCACGUUCUGGAUUCAGAUUCGGACUGCACAGACAUACCUGACUCAAAACGCACACAAGUUUUUCAUACGGACUCCGAAUUGGGUGAUUCUUUUUUUGUUGGAAACUAGAUUUCGUGCACUUUCCAACCCAAGUGGAAUCACCUUCAAAUUCGUCCGGAGCGUUGAGUUGUGGACGAAACAAUCUGAUGCUGCAGCAGAAUCCGAGUCAAACUACAAGUCCAAAGGUGUUACAUCACCUCCACUUGGGCCCAUUGGCCUUGUACGACCUAGAUUUAGUUUUAGGAUGCCUUGGGACGUCCUCCCACCUCCUUGGCCGCCACCCCUUGCUCCUAUAUAAGUAGAUCCAUCUAGUAGCUUUUCCUUGGGAUUUGUUUAGUUAAAAGUUAGCCAUUGCAACUUCGUGUACUUCGUUUGUGUCCAACGACCAGACCAAGACCGCUUACGGAUCCCCACCAUUAUCAAUACCUCAUAUAUAUUUGCAAUAUUCAGAUUGCUUUAUCAUAUUCUUGCUCGUUCUUCGAUUGCUUGCAGGAAUAGACCUUCGUGGUCAGGCUGAUCGUGCUUCCGGCAUCAUCAGUAACCUCAGGAGAUUGGUUUAGCGAUUGCUAAGGCGCAACGUCGUGCACGUUUGUAGUCGGAUCGUCAAAGUCGUCUCCACCAAAUCGAUAGUUAUCAUCUCAUCGAAAGAUCGGGACACCCCCGCCUCUAUCAGGUCUAGCCUAGGACCAGCACAGUACCGUCGUUGAGCGUUUAUUCAACAUUGCAUCUUUGAAUUGAUUAUUGCUAAUCUUUUGCUACCAUAUAUAGCCAACCCAGCUCCACAUAUUUCUACACCGUGUAUACGUACGCUCCCCUGGCAAUCGCUUUACUCAAUAUUCGGAGUUACUUGACACCGCUGGUUGCCGAUCAUCGCCUGCUGCAUGGUAAGAACUUGUAAGACAUUGAUAUUUGCUUUACUGUGAGCGUUUUACCACCACAUCCUAGUAGUUAUAGGAACAUUAUUUUUGGGUUUUGUUUCUUGUUCUACUAAUCAUGACAGGAUCCAGAGUCAAUUCAUGGGCUUUGUCGAUCGCGGGAGACGUGCCACCACCUUUGCAAAUACCACAACCGUCACGAGAGGUGCACAAACAUCCAAAUGCACAUGAUCAGGUUAAUGUAUCUAUACCACCAUUUAAUGGCCGUUUUAAUCCUGCUUUAUAUAUUGAAUGGGAGUUCGACAUAAAAAAUAUAUUUGCUUCCCAUAAUUUCAAUGAACAUAAAAAGGUUAAGGUUGCGGUUGGUUCUUUCACUGGUUAUGCUUUGGUUUGGUGGAGUGAAUAUUGUCGGUUACACCCUGAUUAUAUACCUACUACUUGGGAUGAUUUGAAACUUGCCAUGCGACAUACUUUCGUCCCUGCUUAUUAUACUCGUGACAUGAUUAAGAAGUUGCAACACUUAAAACAAGGUAGUGAAACUGUAACAAAAUAAUAUGAUGAUUUACAAACUACCUUGUUGCAUUCCUCUUUAGAAGAAAGUGAAGAUGAUUUUAUGGAUAGAUUUUGGGGAGGAUUAAACCGUGAUAUUCAAGAGAUACUAAUUCAUGAAGAGUGUUAUCCUAUGGACCAUUUGUUUCAUCUUGCUUGCAAAGCUGAACAGGAAAUAAAACGACGUGUUGGCCACGAGGAGAACAAGCGCACGGUGCACAUUCCAAGAGUUGAUAUGAUUGUUCCUUCAACUACUAGGCAUACUAUGACAACCACAUCCGUUGUUGUCAGGACUACAUCACCUCCACCAUGUGACACAUCGCCCCCGAGAGUGGCUACAUCAUCUGAGUUGAUCAUAAGAGGUAAUGACAAAGGUACUGAUCUUCCAUCUCUACAUGAGAAUGAUGAAUGCCUUGUCAAUUUGAAUGCACCAUCUGAUGAGCUACCCACUACUUUGAUCACACCACCUAUUUUAGAGGACUACGUUGAUAAUUCGAGUUUGCCAUGUGAUCAAACAACUGAAAUACCAACAAUUUUGAGUGCACCCAUUGAAUUAACUAUUGAUGCAAAAGAACCAAUGUUUAAUCAUUUUGAUAUGACCUCUAAUCUUGGUGAUGAUUCUGUGUUGAAUGACUUAUUGCAUGUUUGCUUAUUUAAGCAUGUUGUAGCAUGUAAAUUUGAUGCAAGUAAGGUUUAUUCACCAAUCUUGGGAUGGUUUAAUGAUGAACAUUGUCAAUCUUUUGAAAUGAAUAAGAGCUUCACUUAUAUGUGCAAACUGAGUUGCAAUAUUUUCAUGCCUUCUACUUCUUGUGCUAAUUUUUUGGAUUAGAUUUUAUGAACUAUGCAAGUUACUCAUCUAUUCAUGUGUCAUAUAUGCAAAAAUCAAGGGAAGUAAAAAUGGAUGACAUAUACAUAUACAACAUGUACACCUUGUCUCUUUUGUUAGCCACAUUUCAGAUUAAGCAACGCCGAGGACGGCUUUAUUUUCAAGAAGGGGAGGAUGAUGAGGACAUGAAUACCUUGGAUAUGACCAAAAAUAUUGCAUAUAUGCAUAUUUGUCAGGUGAUUUCUAGUGCAAACUAUUCAAUAAUCUAUUUAUGUUAUCCAGAACAAAAAUACUUCACACACUUUUGUGUUUUGUCUAAUUGCAGGUGUAUGGGACAUUUGUACAAUCCACAUGUGAAGAUAAGGAAGAAAGAGAUGUUUAUUUGCUGUCCAAAAAGUUCUCUCACGUCACUUUUGGCCCAAGAGAAGAUAGAGUCCAAGUCUCUCACGUUCUGGAUUCAGAUUCGGACUGCACAGACAUACCUGACUCAAAACGCACACAAGUUUUUCAUACGGACUCCGAAUUGGGUGAUUCUUUAUUUGUUGGAAACUAGAUUUCGUGAACUUUCCAACCCAAUUGGAAUCACCUUCAAAUUCGUCCGGAGCAUUGAGUUGUGGACGAAACAAUCUGAUGCUGCAGCAGAAUCCGAGUCAAACUACAAGUCCAAAGGUGUUACAUCACCUCCACUUGGGCCCAUUGGCCUUGUACGACCUAGAUUUAGUUUUAGGCUGCCUUGGGACGUCCUCCCACCUCAUUGGCCGUCACCCCUUGCUCCUAUAUAAGUAGAUCCAUCUAGUAGCUUUUCUUUGGGAUUUGUUUAGUUAAAAGUUAGCCAUUGCAACUUCGUGUACUUCGUUUGUGUCCAACGACCAGACCAAGACCGCUUACGGAUCCCCACCAUUAUCAAUACUUCAUAUUUAUUUGCAAUAUUUAGAUUGCUUUAUCAUAUUCUAGCUCGUUCUUCGAUUGCUUGCAGGAAUAGACCUUCGUGGUCAGGCUGACCGUGCUUCCAGCAUCGUCAGUAACCUCAGGAGAUUGGUUUAGCGAUUGCUAAGGCGCAACGUCGUGCACGUUUGUAGUCGGAUCGUUAAAGUUGUCUCCACCAAAUCGAUAGUUAUCAUCUCAUCGAAAGAUCGGGACCCCGCCUCUAUCAUCUCAUCUAAUACUUUGCUAACCCUAAACAUGGUCCUAGGUACGGAAUAUAUAGCCUUGGAGUUGAGGGAGAAGAAGGGGAGCCGAAGAUGCAAUCUCAGCCGGCCAUCCUGGGAGGCCCGUGCGCACGGUGUGCUCCAGCGCCUGUUUCCUGUGCAGCCCAUGGGCACGGGGUCUCGGGGGCCCGUGCGCACGGGGUCGCCUGGGACUUCCUGUGUUGCUGCUGUUGCACUCCGUCUUGAUUCGUGCGGCCUUGGGGUGCUCCUCCUUCUCCUUGGGGAUGCUCCUGAGCUUCUUGGUGAUGUUCCACUUCAUACCUAAGGAGGCAUAGCAUAUUUUGGUGAGGUAGUAGACAUGUUCCAUUUGUGUCCAUACGCAAGUCUAGUAGGAAGGAGUUCACCUUGAUUUCCAAAGCACGUGCUCUAGCUCUUGUCAUGGGUCCUCAUGGGGUUGGAUGUGUAGAUGUAGAGUCCAUGGGGAUGAUGGAAGGAUGCUCCGCAUCACAAUAUGGGAGAUCUCACUCAUAGCAUAUGACAAGUUCAACGGGUUGUCAAACAUGAUGUGACGAAUAGAAUUUUCACAUGAUAUCCUAUGAAGCAUAGCAUCACAACUAGGCAACUCAACAUGCUCAUCAUCAUAUUCAUCAUAAAUAGGUAAGUCAAGGCAUGAAGAAGUUUUACUAGCAUCAAGCAUGGCAAUAGGUGGGUCAACAUCAUGGGAGCAAUCAUUGUCAAGAGAGUCCACUAGUGGGACAAGAGAAGCACCAUCACCUAUGUUACCUUUGGAGCAUCGCUCAUGUGUUGUAGGUGAGGUGUUGAAGAUCCAUUCGUUGUCAUCUUCGUCUUGAUGGAACCAUGUGGGGGGUGCAACAUUGUCCACCAUGGCCAUCGUCGUCUCCAUUGGAGGAAUGGACUCGUCGAUGAUAGGCAUGUCGUCAUGUAGGAGACCUAGCACCAAAGAAGGAAACACACUCGGAGUAGAGGUUAAGGUGUUAGAAAUCAUAGUGUCCUCACAUGCCGUGUCAACUACCUCACUCACUAAGUGUUGUGGCUCACUCACUCCCUCAAGGAUGCUCUCACUCAUAUGGUUGGUGGAGUCACUCAAAUGGCGCUCAACCUCACAUAGGAUGUGUGACAUGUUCUCAUGUGUGGGUCUAGUGAUGGUCACACUAAUCCUCUCAUAGGAAAUGCUCUCAAUGUCACAUAUGGUGGAGUCACUCAUCUCACUCAUGGGGUGGUGGCUCUCGUCACAUGACAAAUUGGGCAUCUCAACAUAUGUGGGUGUCGGAGAAAUGUUGGUGCAAAUGUCUCCAUGCUCAACUCCUAUCACCGUGGUCGAAGGGGAUGGCCCUUGCUCGACCUUCUUGUCGCUGUCUUGGUGUUGGAGGCCCAUAUGAUGUGGCACCUCGUAGCUCGUCUCCAUGACCGAAGGGAGUUUCCCAUGCUCGGCCAUCGUCCUUGAGGGGCUUCCGAAGAUGGAAGUGUCACCCUUGCUUGUAGGUCGUCGCCUUGGACUUGAUGAAGUCGUUGUAGUCGUACUCGUGGGAAGUAGGUGAAGAUGUCGUACGUCCAAAGGCGAAGAUGCUUUGAUAGCACUUGGCGAAGAUGCUAAAGUGGUUGAUGUAGUCGUAGCACCGUCUUGGUGGUGGUCGUCUCGCGGUCUUCUUUUGUGCUCAUGAAGCGUCGACUUGGCGUGAAGUAGGGCUUGUUGGGACUUGUGCAUUAGCGCUUGUGGAGCAUCUUCAUGAUGAUGAUGUCGUUGUCGUGCUUGAGCUCGUAGUAGAUGUUGUUCGUCGUCGUCGUGCACAUGAUGCUUGGAGGUGACUUGCCCUUCAUGAUGAUGUGGAUCACGAACGUGAUGGUGGUCGCCAUGUAGAUGUGGACGAGGACGAUUUGCACUUGCAUCGUUUCCGCGCUCCGAAGACUUGUGGCUUGAAUGUCGCCGCCUUGAAGAUGACGAAGGGGAAGAAGACUUGAUCAAGUCUCUAAUCUCCUCCAUCCUUGCAUCUUGCUCCUCUUUAUGUGCGGAAAGCUUCUUGUCGAUGUAGUCCCUUUUCCUUGCUUCGGAGUGACGAAUGUUGAUGGAGAUGUUCUUGAUGCACUCUUGCAAUCUUGAUUGUGCGCCUUGCAUUUGUCGUUGUAGAUCAAAGAUGGACGCUUUGUUGAUGUAGUUGUUCACGCCGUCGUUGUUGUCGUAGACCGGAGAUGAAAUGCCAUGCCUAUCCAUCAUAAGACUCAAGCAAAUAUGAGUGGGAGAAAGAGAAGAACCUAUACCAAUGUACCUUCACCAAUGUUGACAAUGAAUCAAGUUCACUCAAAUGCGGACAAUGAAAUAGCACUAUUGGUACCAAUCCUUGUCGGUUCUCACACCUACACAAGUAAAGCUUAUGGAGGAGCUCGGUGAGGAUACUGGCAUAAAAAUUUAACGCAAAUGAUAGAGGCAAAGGUGUCCCGUCUUUCGAUGAGAUGAUGGAUAUCGCUUUGGUGGCAGUCGACUUUGACGAUCCGACUACGAACGUGCGAGGACGUCGCGCCUUAGCAAUCGCUAAACCAACUCCGAGAGGUUAUUGACCACGCCGGAGCACGAUCAACCUGACCACGAGGGUCUGUUUCCUGCGAGCAAACGAAGAACAAGCAAGAAACUGAGAUUGCAAUCUGGAUAUUGCGAAUAUAAGAUGAAAGCUUUAUUGAUCAAGGUGGGGUUCUGUGACGCCUUUGUCUGGUCGUUGAGCACAAACGAAGUACGCGAAGUUGCAGCUAUGGCGAACUUUUAAUCUAAACAAAACCCAAAGUCUAAACGAUGCCCUAAGGGCUGUAUAUAUGGAGGAAGAGGGGGGAAUUUCGUGGCCCUUGGUGGAGGGGUCCGAAACCAACCAUAUCUCUUGUUUCCCCACACAUACGGACUCUAAAAAUAGCCUAUACUUAUGUAUUUCGAAAUUACAUGGGCCUGGCCCAAUAAUAAGGUGACGCAGCACCUAAAAUAGCCUCGGCACGAAAUUUAUGAAGUGGCAUCUUGUAUAUUUCGUCCAAGGCUUCAUGCACCCAUUAUGGUGGCUUCAAUGUCCUCAAAUCAUCACUUGUAACUCCGUUCUUGUUCCCCUUGCGCAUGCCAUCAUCUCCAUGCUUGUUCUUGCUCCAAUGUUCAUCCUUCUCCAAGCUAGGCCCUUCAUUUGUAAGCAAAACAAAUGUAUCCAAUUUAGGCAGCAUCAUAUUCUCAUGAACAUUAGAAUCAUUACCAAGAAACGAAAGUACCUGGUAAUUUAGUUGGCGUGCACGAGCUCUAGUAAUUGGUCCAGUAUGUAUAGGAGCAGGGGCUGUGGGUGUAACAAUUGUAUUGAUGUCCUCAUCAGCAAAAUGUUAGCAAGAGUCAAUAAUGUUGAAAAAGAUUCACAAAUUUGCAAGCGAAACAAGUAGACCAAUAGCAAUGAAAGGUACACGGAAACACACACACACGGAUAUAUAAAUGGGGUCGUGCAACCAAGGGAUGAGCACAAAAUGUGGAAUCCACGGAAAACGCUCAUGUUGCACAACUCAAGAAGACGCUGGCACGAUUGCUCAAUAGGCGGAUACGACACUUGUGCACAACCUAUAAGAUGCAAAAUAUAUGGACUUCUAUCCCAAGUAUGCUAUGUAUGUAUGGUUCCCGGUGUUUCUCUCAAGAUGAUCCAAGAUGAUCGGAUAUGACAAUCUUAUAUGCAAUGUGGUAUGAUGCUAUGGCACUUGCUUACAAGCUUCUUUGCGCUCUUUCUUUUGCUUAAAAGCUUUAUUUCUUCUUCUUUUUUUUGUAUGGCCACUUUUGCACAAUGCACAAACCAAGAUAACAAUUGUGUAUAUGCGGGAACAAACUUGUGACACAAGAUAUGAUACCAAUAUUUGCACCACGAUGAUAUGGUAUAUAUGCUAUGGGAAGUAUGAUCACUAAUGUGCACAAGUAAUGUUGCCGGCAAUACUCAAAUGGCUAGUCUCGAUAGGCAAGUGACGCAAAAUGGUCUAGGGGUUAACAAUGCAAUGGCAAGGGGAACAUACAAUGGAGGGAUACCACGAUACCAAGAUGAUAUGGAGGUUACCGUCCUUGGAGAUGAUGAGUGGCGGUGUUCUUGAUGUCGAAACCAAGAUGAUGGAGACUCAUCCCUAAGUAGCCGAAACACCUUAGGAAACGGAAAACCGUGAACUCAAAAUCUCAAACGUCAAAUGUCAAAAUGGUAGUAGCGGAAAGCGGUGGUGGUUUGCACUUGGCAAUGCGGAAGUGGGAUGAUGGGCUAUACACGGUGUAAGAGUUGGAAGUACGCGGGCCCUAAGUAGCCGAAACACCUUAGGAGACACAACUCACAACACAAACAAAAUGGGUUAAGUUGGGUUGGCGGACGUGUAUGGUGGGCAAGCCUAUGCGGAAGUUAUGUUGGUGGUGGUGGUUGAUGAAGAAGCAACCGUCCCUAAGUAGCCGAAACACCUUAGGAGACUCGAAUCACUAUUCAAGCAACCACUAAUGCUAUAUGGAUCAAAAUGGGUUAGGUUGCGGAAGUCAGUGGUGGUUAUGCGGAUGUUGUGGUGGAAGCCCUAGGCAAACUUGCCAAAUUCUCAAAUAUUUGAUGGAGCCAAAUGAUGUUGUUGUUAUUUUUGUGGGAUGGGGGAUGUCAAUAGCUUCAAAACGAGCUAAAGAACGUCAAAAUCGGACUCCGGAUGAUUUAGUUAUGGCCGAAACGGUGAAACGGGAAAAGCUGAAAUGACAAGGGUCGGACAUCCGGGGCUCGGGCCGGAUUUCCGGGACCUGAUGUCCAGAACCGCGCGCGAAAAUGCACUCCAGGAGCCGGAUGUCCGGGCUAAUGGGCGGAUGUCCAGGCUGGCCGGAUGUCCGGUGGUCGGGCCGGAUGUCCGGGCUCCCAAUCCGAGGAUGAACUCGAGGAACUCGAUUUUGGGGGCGGAAAUUGAUGAUUUCGGGGGCAAAAUUUGAUGGAUUUCGUGGAUGGAAAGUGGGAAAACUUGGGGGAAAGCUAGAUCCACUUGAAACCAAGCAAAUCCAUGGAUCAAAAUCAACAAAACAUCAUCAAACCAACAAAUCACAAAAAAAAUUGGGGCCUAUUUUUGGUGGGGAUUUUCGGAUUUAGAAAGAAAUCAACAAAAUCAAGCUAGAAAAAGAGGGGUAGGGGCUCCAAAAACGUGAUCAACGUGUCUCAUGAUACCAAGAUGAUGUAGGGCGGAACCUAGGGGCCAAUCUUUCACGUUUGGAGUGGAUCCUACGGGGAAACACAAAGAACGCGCGGAAAACACAAAGGGGAAACACGGGGAAAACGAGAGAGAAUCACUAAACCGACAAGGAAUCAAUCACACAAGUGCUAGAUCACCGAAUACAAAGAGUAACUCAAGAUCCACAAUUAACAAAGGUAAGGAUACAAAGGAACCAUUCUUCUCCGUGAGGAGGUCUUGAUGGUCUUCCCUAGAAAGGGGUCUUGAAUCCGCUUGGGGGAUCUUCUCCGAAGAGGUCGUGAACUCCGAGGAGAAGUAUCCAAGUGGAUGAGCAAGGCUCUCACACAAAUAUGAGCUAAACCAAUGCUAACCCUAGAACGUAGGUGGAGGGGGAGUAUAUAUAGUCUAAGGGGCAAAGGGGUACAUGGGCCUCGGCUCGGAUGCACUGCACGCAGGCAGGCGAGGCCGGAUGUCCGGGCGACGGGCCGGAUGUCCAGGCUUUCCCGAGAUGCCGGAUGUCCGGGCGCUGGGCCGGAUGUCCGGGCUGGCUUGAUCCAGCUUCUGGACGUUCUGUGAUGGGGCGCCGGAGUUCCAGGCUGUCACGGGGCGCCGGAUGUCCGGGCCCUGUAGCACUUCUGUAAGUGCAUCUAGUGUCAUCCCUAGUUGGUUUUGGAGUAUUGACGACAAAGUUGGUUGAGGGACUAAUGCGCUUGUGAGAAUUGCAGGAUAAUGCGGGUAGUGUCCCUCAUUGAUUCGGUUUACCUACUGGAGAUGACCCCUAAAAAUGUAUGAAGACAUUGAAGACAAUGGUGGUAUGAGAAGAUAUUCAUAUUGAAGACUAUGACUGGAGAAGACAUUGAGUGAAGAUUAUGGAGCGCGAAGACUGUGUGGUUUCGUUGUUUCCUUUUCUUCUUUGUUGAGUCAGAGGAACCACCGUACUGUUAAGUGGGGUCCAAGUGAACUAAGUCAGAGUGACUGAAGUGAUGCUCAACCCAAAUCCUAUGUCUUCGAGCGAAGACAAUGAGAGCAAAUCUUAUCCAGAGCUAGAUGAGUCAGCUUUGCUUGUAGCCCAAGUAAAGUUGUCGUGUGUGUUUGAAAUCUGACCGUUAGAACACGUGUCAGUUCCUUAGUGACCCAGGGUCAUUUCGGACAAAUCAGGUCGGGUUGCCUUGUGGCUAUAAAUAGCCCACCCCCUACACCAUAAGUUGGUGGCUGCUCAGAGUUAGUGCACGACUUUUGUCGUUUGAGAGCAACCCACCUCGAAGCAUUUGAGAGAGAGAGAUCCUUGCGAGGAAAAAGCCCAAACACCCAGAGCCAAAGAGUGUUAGGCAUCACUGAAGUCUUUCUGUCUGUGUGACCUGAAGACUUAUUACACUUGAGGACUGUGAAUCCUCCAGCCGGUUAGGCGUCGCGUUCUGAGCAUCCAAGAGUCAUUGUGGAUUGCCGGUGAACGAAGUCUGUGAAGGUUUGGAAGUCUACCUUGAAGACUUACCAGAGUGAUUGGGCGAGGAUUGGGUGUCCUUAGCUCAAGGGGAAUAAGGUGAAGACAUGGUCUUUUGAGUUAAAUCUCAGCCUCCCUAACCAGACGUACAGUUGUCACAGCAACUGGAACUGGUCCAACAAAUCCUGUGUCUUCAACAAGCAACUGGUUCUAUCCCUUUCCAUCCUCUACUUAAGUUUGUCUUCCUGAAGUCAUUGCCUAUCUGUCUUACCUGUUUGACUUCAUUGCUUGACUACUAUCGUGGAUUGGCUUCAUACUAUCUUCCAUCCUGAUCCUUACUACUUAGCUGCUAUUAGUCCUGUACUUUCACAUCAUCAUAUACUUGACUAUGGUUUGCUUAUGGUAGUUUAUCUUCCGCUGCAUAUCAACUAGGUCAUUUCUACUGUUUGUCUUCGAAACUUCCAAGUUUUGAAGACUUUCAUAAAAAUCGCCUAUUCACCCCCCCUCUAGUCGAUACUAGCACUUUCAACUUCGAUGGCUGGGCUGCUGCUGUUCUUGACAUCUUCAGGGGCCGGAUGCUCGGGCCGGGGCCGGAUGUCCGGGUCGUGUAGCCUUUCUCCAGUUCCUCUUGUCGUGCUCCUUCAUCCUUGUACUUGGGGACUUGUCAAUAAUUCCGAGCAUCUCCGAGAGGGUCUCCUUGGUACCUAGGCAUGCGUAGUGUCCUUGCAUUAGAUAGCAACCAUGUCUCACAUGAAUGGAAAGGGGAAGCAUUUAGGAGCAGGUUCACCUUGUGUCCAAUGGCGCAUAGUCGAGGUCUCAUCUUAUGUAUCCUUGGGACUUGGGGAGUAGUGGGAGUGUACAUUGGGAUGAGCGUGGGAUGCUCCGCAUCACACUGCUUGGUCACUUUGAUCAAUAUUCCAUUUCAAAUUCCAGUUGAAUUCAAUUUGAAUUUAUGUGUGAAAUUCAAAAAUGCUCAGACAUGAAAACUAAAAUGUUCAUCAUGUGGAACAUAUUCUUAUGGUAGUAUUGGUGGUGAACCAACAUUUUUGCAAAAUGUCUAAGUGGUCUAAAAUAGCUAAAACACAAAGUUGUUAAAAGAAAAAAACAAAAGUUAAAAAAAGGAGAAGAAAAGGAGAAGGGGUGGGAGAGCUGGCCUCCCAUUGGGCUUCGGCCCAUCCCAGCAGGCCGGCCCACCUACCUUCCCGGUCACUCUCCCCUCCCCCUGUUCAACCUACCGAGGGCGCCGCCGGACCACCUCGUGAUGAGGACAUCAAUACCGUUGUUACACCCACAGCCCCUACUACUACAUAUACGGGACCAAUUACUAGAGCUCGCGCAUGCCAAUUAAAUUUUCAGGUACUUUCGUUUCUUGGUAAUAAUUCUAAUGUUCAUGAGAAUAUAACGCUGCCUAAAUUGGAUACAUUUGUUUUGCUUACAAAUGAAGGGCCUAGCUUGGAGAAGGAUGAACAUUGGAGCAAGAACAAGCAUGGAGAUGAUGCCAUGCGCAAGGGGAACAAGAACAGAGUUACAAGUGAUGAUUUCAGGACUUUGAAGCCACCAUAAUGGGUGCAUGAAGCCUUGGACGAAAUAUACAAGAUGCCACUUCAUAAAUUUCGUCCCGAGGCUAUUAUAGGUGCUGCGUCACCUUUUUAUUGGGCCAGGCCCAUGUAAUUUCGAAAUACAUAAGUAUAGGCUAUUUUUAGAGUCUGUAUGUGUGGGGAAACAAGAGAUAGGGUUGAUUUCGGACCCCUCCACCAAGGGCCACGAAAUUCCCCUCUCUUCCUCCAUAUAUACAGCCCUUAGGGCACCCUUUAGAUUUUGGGUUUUGUUUAGAUUAAAGUUCGCCAUAGCUGCAACUUCGCGUACUUCGUUUGUGUUCAACGACCAGACAAAGGCGUCACCGAACCCCACCUUCAUCAAUAAAGCUUUCAUCUUAUAUUCGCAAUAUCCAGAUUGCAAUCUCAGUUUCUUGCUUGUUCUUCGUUUGCUUGCAGGAAACAAACCCUCGUGGUCAGGUUGAUCGUGCUCCGGCAUGGUCAAUAACCUCUCGGAGUUGGUUUAGCGAUUGCUAAGGCGCGACGUCCUCGCACGUUCAUAGUCGGAUCGUCAAAGUCGACUGCCACCAAAGCGAUAUCCAUCAUCUCAUCGAAAGACGGGACACCUUUGCCUCUAUCAAGUGGUAUCAGAUUUCCAGGUUGCUCGGUGAGAUUUUACAGUUUUUCGUAGUUUAGAUCGAGUCUGUUCUUCAUACCUAUAGUCCACCAAAAAGCUAAAAAAAAAUUAGGGUUAGUUCAUCCCAUCCGAACCAAUCUGAGCCUUGCAUAAUCUUUUCUGUAUUUGCUUUGUUGAAUUUGCGGUUGCAUCGUCGUGUCCAGUUGCUGGUCUUAGCGUCUAGUCUUUUAGAGUUUCGAGUUCUAUUCACAGGUUGUCACGUCGCCGCUGCCAUAUAUCACCACCGCAUCAUCAUCGUCGCUGUUGCCAUAUACCACCACCACAUAUUCACCGCCAAUCCGAAUCCAUAUACACCACCACAUAUCCGCCGCCAUCACGCCAAUCCGAGUUCACUUACAACAUAUAUCCGCCACAUGUCCGUGUUCCACCAGAUUCAUCUCCGCCACCAGUCCGAGUUCCACCAGAUUCAUCUCCGCCACCAGUCCUAGUCCGAGUCUAGUAAUUGUUGCAUUGUUCUCGAUUUCCAGAUCACGCGAUACUCCGAGUCGUGACAGAGAAGGACUCCCCAACUUCCGAGCCAUCCGCAGAAGAAAAAUUGUUCCAAUUUCAAAAAAGAAAAUUAUGGCUAGGCAGUUUUUAGACCAUUUGUAGACUUUUUCGAAAAAAAUUUUGUUGCGGAGCAAAAAAAAAAGAGGAAAAAAAAGUGCAAAAAAAGAGAAAAAAAUAUUCAGAGUGUGCUCCUCCCUUGUUUACGUGCCGCGCUGAUAGAGGUGAGGGUGUCCCGAUCUUUCGAUGAGAUGAUAACUAUCGAUUUGGUGGAGACGACUUUGACGAUCCGACUACAAACGUGCACGACGUUGUGCCUUAGCAAUCGCUAAACCAAUCUCCUGAGGUUACUGACGAUGCCGGAAGCACGGUCAGCCUGACCACGAAGGUCUAUUCCUGCAAGCAAUCGAAGAACGAGCAAGAAUAUGAUAAAGCAAUCUGAAUAUUGCAAAUAUAUAUGAGGUAUUGAUAAUGGUGGGGAUCCGUAAGCGGUCUUGGUCUGGUCGUUGGACACAAACGAAGUACACGAAGUUGCAAUGGCUAACUUUUAACUAAACAAAUCCCAAGGAAAAGCUACUAGAUGGAUCUACUUAUAUAGGAGCAAGGGGUGGCGGCCAAGGAGGUGGGAGGACGUCCCAAGGCAGCCUAAAACUAAAUCUAGGUCGUACAAGGCCAAUGGGCCCAAGUGGAGGUGAUGUGAUGAGGACAUCAAUACAAUUGUUACACCCACAGCCCCUGCUGCUAUACAUACUGGACCAAUUACUAGAGCUCGUGCACGCCAACUAAAUUACCAGGUACUUUCGUUUCUUGGUAAUGAUUCUAAUGUUCAUGAGAAUGUGAUGCUGCCUAAAUUGGAUACAUUUGUUUUGCUUACAAAUGAAGGGCCUAGCUUGGAGAAGGAUGAACAUUGGAGCAAGAACAAGCAUGGAGAUGAUGGCAUGCGCAAGGGAAACAAGAACGGAGUUACAAGUGAUGAUUUCAGGACUUUGAAGCCACCAUAAUGGGUGCAUCAAGCCUUGGACGAAAUAUACAAGACGCCACUUCAUAAAUUUCGUCCCGAGGCUAUUUUAGGUGCUGCGUCACCUUAUUAUUGGGCCAGGCCCAUGUAAUUUCGAAAUACAUAAGUAUAGGCUAUUUUUAGAGUCCGUAUGUGUGGGGAAACAAGAGAUAGGGUUGAUUUCGGACCCCUCCACCAAGGGCCACGAAAUUCCCCCCCUCUUCCUCCAUAUAUACAGCCCUUAGGGCAUCGUUUAGACUUUGGGGGUUUUGUUUAGAUUAAAAGUUCGCCAUAGCUGCAACUUCGCGUACUUCGUUUGUGUUCAACGACCAGACAAAGGCGUCACAGAACCCCACCUUGAUCAAUAAAGCUUUCAUCUUAUAUUCGCAAUAUCCAGAUUGCAAUCUUAGUUUCUUGCUUGUUCUUCGUUUGCUCGCAGGAAACAGACCCUCGUGGUCAGGUUGAUCGUGCUCCGGCGUGGUCAAUAACCUCUCGGAGUUGGUUUAGCGAUUGCUAAGGCGCGACGUCCUCGCACGUUCGUAGUCAGAUCGUCAAAGUCGACUUCCACCAAACGAUAUCCAUCAUCUCAUCGAAAGAUCGGGACCCUCGCCUCUAUUAUGAUGUAACACCUUUGGACUUGUAGUUUGACUCGGAUUCUGCUGCAGCAGCAGAUUGUUUCGUCCACAACUCAACGCUCCGAACGAAUUUGAAGGUGAUUCUAAUUGGGUUGGAAAGUGCACGAAAUCUAGUUUCCAACAAAAAAAGAAUCACCCAAUUCGGAGUCCGUAUGAAAAACUUGUGUCCGUUUUGAGUCAGGUGUGUCUGUGCAGUCCGAAUCUGAAUCCAGAACGUGAGAGACUUGGACUCUAUCUUCUCUUGGGCCAAAAGUGACGUGAGAGAACUUUUUGGACAGCAAAUAAACAUCUCUUUCUUCCUUAUCUUCAUAUGUGGAUUGUACAAAUGUCCCAUACACCUGCAAUUAGACAAAACACAAAAGUGUGUGAAGUAUUUUUGUUCUGGAUAACAUAAAUAGAUUAUUGAAUAGUUUGCACUAGAAAUCACCUGACAAAUAUGCAUAUAUGCAAUAUUUUUGGUCAUAUCCAAGGUAGUCAUGUCCUCAUCAUCCUCCCCUUCUUGAAAAUAAAGCCGUCCUCGGCGUUGCUUAAUCUGAAAUAUGGCUAACAAAAGAGACAAGGUGUACAUGUUGUAUAUGUAUAUGCCAUCCAUUUUUACUUCCCUUGAUUUUUGCAUAUAUGACACAUGAAUAGAUGAGUAACUUGCAUAGUUCAUAAAAUCUAAAGCCAAAAAAUUAGCACAAGAAGUAGAAGGCAUGAAAAUAUUGCAAUUCAGUUUGCACAUAUAAGUGAAGCUCUUAUUCAUUUCAAAAGAUUGACAAUGUUCAUCAUUAAACCAUCCCAACAUUGGUGAAUAAACCUUACUUGCAUCAAAUUUAUAUGCUACAACAUGCUUAAAUAAGCAAACAUGCAAUAAGUCAUUCAACACAGAAUCAUCACCAAGAUUACAGGUCAUAUCAAAAUGAUUAAACAUUGGUUCUUUUGCAUCAAUAGUUAAUUCAAUGGGUGCACUCAAAAUUGUUGGUAUUUCAGUUGUUUGAUCACAUGGCAAAGUCAAAUUAUCAACGUAGUCCUCUAAAAUAGGUGGUGUGAUCAAAGUAGUGGGUAGCUCAUCAGAUGGUGCAUUCAAAUUGACAAGGCAUUCAUCAUUCUCAUGUAGAGAUGGAAGAUCAGUACCUUUGUCAUUACCUCUUAUGAUCAACUCAGAUGAUGUAGCCACUCUCGGGGGCGAUGUGUCACAUGGUGGAGGUGAUGUAGUCCUGACAACAACGGAUGUGGUUGUCAUAGUAUGCCUAGUAGCUGAAGGAACAAUCAUAUCAACUCUUGGAAUGUGCACCGUGCGCUUGUUCUCCUCGUGGCCAACACGUCGUUUUAUUUCCUGUUCAGCUUUGCAAGCAAGAUGAAACAAAUGGUCCAUAGGAUAACACUCUUCAUGAAUUAGUAUCUCUUGAAUAUCACGGUUUAAUCCUCCCCAAAAUCUAUCCAUAAAAUCAUCUUCACUUUCUUCUAAAGAGGAAUGCAACAAGGUAGUUUGUAAAUCAUCAUAAUAUUUUGUUACAGUUUCACUACCUUGCUUUAAGUGUUGCAACUUUUUAAUCAUGUCACGAGUAUAAUAAGCAGGGACGAAAGUAUGUCGCAUGGCAAGUUUCAAAUCAUCCCAAGUAGUAGGUAUAUAAUCAGGGUGUAACCGACAAUAUUCACUCCACCAAACCAAAGCAUAACCAGUGAAAGAACCAACCGCAACCUUAACCUUUUUAUGUUCAUCGAAAUUAUGGGAAGCAAAUAUAUUUUUUAUGUCGAACUCCCAUUCAAUAUAUAAAGCGGGUUUAAAACGGCCAUUAAAUGGUGGUAUAGAUACAUUAACCUGAUCAUGUGCAUUUGGAUGUUUGUGCACCUCUCGUGAUGGUUGUGGUAUUUGCAAAGGUGGUGUCACGUCUCCCGCGAUCGACAAAGCCCAUGAAUUGACUCUGGAUCCUGACAUGAUUAGUAGAACAAGAAACAAAACCCAAAAAUAAUGUUCCUCUAACUACUAGGAUGUGGUGGUAAAACGCUCACAGUAAAGAAAAUAUCAAUGUCUUACAAGUUCUUACCAUGCAGCAGGCGGUGAUCGGCAACCAGCGGUGUCAAGUAACUCCGAAUAUUGAGUAAAGCGAUUGCCAGGGGAGCGUACGUAUACACGGUGUAGAAAUAUGUGGAGCUGGGUUGGCUAUAUAUGGUAGCAAAAGAUUAGCAAUAAUCAAUUCAAAGAUGCAAUGUUGAAUAAACGCUCAACGACGGUACUGUGCUGGUCCUAGGCUAGACCGAACUAGAGACGCGAGCCUAGAACACUAAUGAGGUCACGUCGUAGCACAACCAGCAUCAAUGAAGGAUACAAAGUAGCUCUGGACAGCAAGAUAUAAGUGAAGAUCAAAACGGCAGUAAAGAUAAUGAUGUGAAACAAUAGCCAAGCUGUUUUACUGAACAGUGCACAAAACAGAUUCCAAUCCGAAUUCAGGUACGAGAUUGAUUCUAGAUAGAUCCAAUUUUUUUUCUUCUCUCUUUUUUUCUCACGCUUUUUUUUUCUUUUUCUUCUCCCUCUUUUUCUUUUUUUUUCUUUCCUUUUUUCUCUCUUUUUUUUCUUUAUCUUCUUUUUCUCCCUCUUUCCAAGACAAACUAGAUAAGAUGCAGAUUCGAUCAGGCGAAGAUGUGAGUGACCUCAACUAUGAUUAUGACAAUAAACAGUGCGUAGCACGUGGUGGAAAUUGGUGGAUUGGAUGGUGGACAGCGGAUGGGAUAAUGAUGCAGCGGCUGCGUGACUAAUGUGAACAGAACUCGAAACUCUAAAGGAACUAGACACUAAGACCAGCAACUCGACACGGCGAUGCAACCGAUAAUUCAAUAAUGCAAACAAUGAAUAGAAAAUUGCAAAGGCUCAGACUGGCUUGGAUAAAGGAUGAACAGAUCUAACUUUUUUUGUGGCUUUUUCUUGGACAAUAGGUAAGAAAAUAAAUCUAAUCUAAGAAAAACUGGAAAUUCUCACCGAGCAACCUGAAAACUGAUACCACUUGAUAGAGGCGAGGGUGUCUCGAUCUUUCGAUGAGAUGAUAACUAUCGAUUUGGUGGAGACGACUUUGACGAUCCGACUACAAACAUGCACGACGUUGCGCCUUAGCAAUCGCUAAACCAAUCUCCUGAGGUUACUGACGAUGCCGGAAGCACGGUCAGCCUGACCACGAAGGUCUAUUCCUGCAAGCAAUCGAAGAACGAGCAAGAAUAUGAUGAAGCAAUCUGAAUAUUGCAAAUAUAUAUGAGGUAUUGAUAAUGGUGGGGAUCCGUAAGCGGUCUUGGUCUGGUCGUUGGACACAAACGAAGUACACGAAGUUGCAAUGGCUAACUUUUAACUAAACAAAUCCCCAGGAAAAACUACUAGAUGGAUCUACUUAUAUAGGAGCAAGGGGUGGCGCCCAAGGAGGUGGGAGGACGUCCCAAGGCAGCCUAAAACUAAAUCUAGGUCGUACAAGGCCAAUGGGCCCAAGUGGAGGUGAUGUAACACCUUUGGACUUGUAGUUUGACUCGGAUUCUGCUGCAGCAUCCGAAUUUGAAGGUGAUUCCAAUUGGGUUGGAAAGUGCACGAAAUCUAGUUUCCAACAAAAAAAGAAUCACCCAAUUCGGAGUCCGUAUGAAAAACUUGUGUGCGUUUUGAGUCAGGUAUGUCUGUGCAGUCCGAAUCUGAAUCCAGAACGUGAGAGACUUGGACUCUAUCUUCUCUUGGGCCAAAAGUGACGUGAGAGAACUUUUUGGACAGCAAAUAAACAUCUCUUUCUUCCUUAUCUUCAUAUGUGGAUUGUACAAAUGUCCCAUACACCUGCAAUUAGACAAAACACAAAAGUGUGUGAAGUAUUUUUGUUCUGGAUAACAUAAAUAGAUUAUUGAAUAGUUUGCACUAGAAAUCACCUGACAAAUAUGCAUAUAUGCAAUAUUUUUGGUCAUAUCCAAGGUAGUCAUGUCCUCAUAAUCCUCCCCUUCUUGAAAAUAAAGCCGUCCUCGGCGUUGCUUAAUCUGAAAUGUGGCUAACAAAAGAGACAAGGUGUACAUGUUGUAUAUGUAUAUGUCAUCCAUUUUUACUUCCCUUGAUUUUUGCAUAUAUGACACAUGAAUAGAUGAGUAACUUGCAUAGUUCAUAAAAUCUAAAGCCAAAAAAUUAGCACAAGAAGUAGAAGGCAUGAAAAUAUUGCAACUCAGUUUGCACAUAUAAGUGAAGCUCUUAUUCAUUUCAAAAGAUUGACAAUGUUCAUCAUUAAACCAUCCCAACAUUGGUGAAUAAACCUUACUUGCAUCAAAUUUACAUGCUACAACAUGCUUAAAUAAGCAAACAUGCAAUAAGUCAUUUAACACAGAAUCAUCACCAAGAUUAGAGGUCAUAUCAAAAUGAUUAAACAUUGGUUCUUUUGCAUUAAUAGUUAAUUCAAUGGGUGCACUCAAAAUUGUUGGUAUUUCAGUUGUUUGAUCACAUGGCAAAGUCAAAUUAUCAACGUAGUCCUCUAAAAUAGGUGGUGUGAUCAAAGUAGUGGGUAGCUCAUCAGAUGGUGCAUUCAAAUUGACAAGGCAUUCAUCAUUCUCAUGUAGAGAUGGAAGAUCAGUACCUUUGUCAUUACCUCUUAUGAUCAACUCAGAUGAUGUAGCCACUCUCGGGGGCGAUGUGUCACAUGGUGGAGGUGAUGUAGUCCUGACAACAACGGAUGUGGUUGUCAUAGUAUGCCUAGUAGUUGAAGGAACAAUCAUAUCAACUCUUGGAAUGUGCACCGUGCGCUUGUUCUCCUCGUGGCUAACACGUCGUUUUAUUUCCUGUUCAGCUUUGCAAGCAAGAUGAAACAAAUGGUCCAUAGGAUAACACUCUUCAUGAAUUAGUAUCUCUUGAAUAUCACGGUUUAAUCCUCCCUAAAAUCUAUCCAUAAAAUCAUCUUCACUUUCUUCUAAAGAGGAAUGCAACAAGGUAGUUUGUAAAUCAUCAUAAUAUUUUGUUACAGUUUCACUACCUUGUUUUAAGUGUUGCAACUUCUUAAUCAUGUCACGAGUAUAAUAAGCAGGGACGAAAGUAUGUCGCAUGGCAAGUUUCAAAUCAUCCCAAGUAGUAGGUAUAUAAUCAGGGUGUAACCGACAAUAUUCACUCCACCAAACCAAAGCAUAACCAGUGAAAGAAACCAACCGCACCCUUAACCUUUUUAUGUUCAUUGAAAUUAUGGGAAGCAAAUAUAUUUUUUAUGUCGAACUCCCAUUCAAUAUAUAAAGCAGGUUUAAAACGGCCAUUAAAUGGUGGUAUAGAUACAUUAACCUGAUCAUGUGCAUUUGGAUGUUUGUGCACCUCUCGUGACGGUUGUGGUAUUUGCAAAGGUGGUGGCACGUCUCCCGCGAUCGACAAAGCCCAUGAAUUGACUCUGGAUCCUGUCAUGAUUAGUAGAACAAGAAACAAAACCCAAAAAUAAUGUUCCUAUAACUACUAGGAUGUGGUGGUAAAACGCUCACAGUAAAGCAAAUAUCAAUGUCUUACAAGUUCUUACCAUGCAGCAGGUGGUGAUCGGCAACCAGCGGUGUCAAGUAACUCCGAAUAUUGAGUAAAGCGAUUGCCAGGGGAGCGUACGUAUACACGGUGUAGAAAUAUGUGGAGCUAGGUUGGCUAUAUAUGGUAGCAAAAGAUUAGCAAUAAUCAAUUCAAAGAUGCAAUGUUGAAUAAAUGCUCAACGACGGUACUGUGCUGGUCCUAGGCUAGACCGGACUAGAGACGCGAGCCUAGAACACUAAUGAGGUCACGGCGUAGCACAACUAGCAUCAAUGAAGGAUACUAAGUAGCUCUUGACAGCAAGAUAUAAGUGAAGAUCACAACGGCAGUGAAGAUAAUGAUGAAAAACAACUGCCAAGCAGGAUAUACAACAACUCUCUCUCCAACUUUCCUCUUGAAAAGUUUGAGACAAUUUUCUGAUAAAUUCUUUCAAAGAAUGCUACUAACUCAAGCUUUCCAAUGCAAAAGAAUCACUCAAUUCCGAGUUGAUAUGAGAAGUCAAAGAAUUUUAAAACUGGCCUGAAAAAUUGGAACAAGUUGUGUUCACGAACUUCGGAGGGCAAAAAGACCUAUUUAGAAGCCAAUUUUGAGGUGUCAAAUAUUGAACUAGCUUCUGCAACUAUUUAGAUGCGGCUCAUCGCUAUCUUCAAUUUGAGUACUCACGGAGCCAAAACUGACUUCGUAUGAGGAAGAUAUACCUGUUUUACUGAACAGUGCGCAAAACAGAUUCCAAUCUGAAUUCAGGUACGCGAUUGAUUCUAGAUAGAUCCGAUUUUUUUCUUCUUCUCUCUUUUUUUCCUCAUGCUUUUUUUUUCUUUUUCUUCUCUCUCUUUUUCUUUUUUUUUUCUUUCCUUUUUUUCUCUCUUUUUUCUCUCUUUUUUUUCUCCCUCUUUCCAAGACAAACUAGAUAAGAUGCAGAUUGGAUCAGGCAAAGAUGUGAAUGACCUCAACUAUGAUUAUGACAAUGAACAGCGCGUAGCACGUGGUGGAAAUUAAUAGAUGGGAUGGUGGACUGCGGAAGGGAUAACGAUGCAGCGGCGGCGUGACUAAUGUGAACAGAACUCGAAACUCUAAAGGAACUAGACACUAAGACCAGCAACUGACACGACGAUGCAACCGAUAAUUCAACUAUGCAAGCAACGAAUAGAAAAUUGCAAAGGCUCAGACUGGCUUGGAUAAAGGAUGAACAGAUCUAACUUUUUUUGUGGCUCUUUCAUGAACUAUAGGUAUGAAUGACAGAUGAGAUCUAAACUAUGAAAAACUGUAAAAUCUCACCGAGCAACCUGAAAACUGAUACCACUUGAUAGAGGCGGGGUGUCCCGAUCUUUCGAUGAGAUGAUAACUAUCGAUUUGGUGAAGAUGACUUUGACGAUCCGACUACAAACGUGCACGACGUUGCGCCUUAGCAAUCGCUAAACCAACUCCGAGAGGUUAUUGACCACGCUGGAGCACAAUCAACCUGACCACGAAGGUCUAUUUCUGCAAGCAAUCGAAGAACAAGCAAGAAUAUGAUAAAAGCAAUCUGAAUAUUGCGAGUAUAUAUGAAGUAUUGAUAAAGGUGGGGAUCCAUAAGCGGUCUUGGUCUGGUCGUUGGACACAAACGAAAUACACGAAGUUGCAAUGGCUAACUUUUAACUAAACAAAUCCCCAGGAAAAGCUACUAGAUGGAUCUACUUAUAUAGGAGCAAGGGGUGGCGGCCAAGGAGGUGGGAGGACGUCCCAAGGCAGGCUAAAACUAAAUCUAGGUCGUACAAGGCCAAUGGGCCCAAGUGGAGGUGAUGUAACGCCUUUGGACUUGUAGUUUGACUCGGAUUCUGCUGCAGCAUCAGAUUGUUUCGUCCACAACUCAACGCUCCGGACGCAUUUGAUGGUGAUUCCAAUUGGGUUGGAAAGUGCACGAAAUCUAGUUUCCAACAAAAAAAGAAUCACCCAAUUCGGAGUCCGUAUGAAAAACUUGUGUGCGUUUUGAGUCAGGUAUGUAUGUGCAGUCCGAAUCUGAAUCCAGAACGUGAGAGACUUGGACUCUAUCUUCUCUUGGGCCAAAAGUGACGUGAGAGAACUUUUUGGACAGCAAAUAAACAUCUCUUUCUUCCUUGUCUUCAUAUGUGGAUUGUAUAAAUGUCCCAUACACCUGCAAUUAGACAAAACACAAAAGUGUGUGAAAUAUUUUUGUUCUGGAUAACAUAAAUAGAUUAUUGAAUAGUUUGCACUAGAAAUCACCUGACAAAUAUGCAUAUAUGCAAUAUUUUUGGUCAUAUCCAAGGUAGUCAUAUCCUCAUCAUCCUCCCCUUUUUGAAAAUAAAGCCGUCCUCGGCGUUGCUUAAUCUGAAAUGUGGCUAACAAAAGAGACAAGGUGUACAUGUUGUAUAUGUAUAUGUCAUCCAUUUUUACUUCCCUUGAUUUUUGCAUAUAUGACACAUGAAUAGAUGAGUAACUUGCAUAGUUCAUAAAAUCUAAAGCCAAAAAAUUAGCACAAGAAGUAGAAAGCAUGAAAAUAUUGCAACUCAGUUUGCACAUAUAAGUGAAGCUCUUAUUCAUUUCAAAAGAUUGACAAUGUUCAUCAUUAAACCAUCCCAACAUUGGUGAAUAAACCUUACUUGCAUCAAAUUUACAUGCUACAACAUGCUUAAAUAAGCAAACAUGCAAUAAGUCAUUCAACACAGAAUCAUCACCAAGAUUAGAGGUCAUAUCAAAAUGAUUAAACAUUGGUUCUUUUGCAUCAAUAGUUAAUUCAAUGGGUGCACUCAAAAUUGUUGGUAUUUCAGUUGUUUGAUCACAUGGCAAAGUCAAAUUAUCAACGUAGUCCUCUAAAAUAGGUGGUGUGAUCAAAGUAGUGGGUAGCUCAUCAGAUGGUGCAUUCAAAUUGACAAGGCAUUCAUCAUUCUCAUGUAGAGAUGGAAGAUCAGUACCUUUGUCAUUACCUCUUAUGAUCAACUCAGAUGAUGUAGCCACUCUCGGGGGUGAUGUGUCACAUGGUGGGGGUGAUGUAGUCCUGACAACAACGGAUGUGGUUGUCAUAGUAUGCCUAGUAGUUGAAGGAACAAUCAUAUCAACUCUUGGAAUGUGCACCGUGCGCUUGUUCUCCUCGUGGCCAACACGUCGUUUUAUUUCCUGUUCAGCUUUGCAAGCAAGAUGAAACAAAUGGUCCAUAGGAUAACACUCUUCAUGAAUUAGUAUCUCUUGAAUAUCACGGUUUAAUCCUCCCCAAAAUCUAUCCAUAAAAUCAUCUUCACUUUUUUCUAAAGAGGAAUGCAACAAGGUAGUUUGUAAAUCAUCAUAAUAGUUUGUUACAGUUUCACUACCUUGUUUUAAGUGUUGUAACUUCUUAAUCAUGUCACGAGUAUAAUAAGCAGGGACGAAAGUAUGUCGCAUAGCAAGUUUCAAAUCAUCCCAAGUAGUAGGUAUAUAAUCAGGGUGUAACCGACAAUAUUCACUCCACCAAACCAAAGCAUAACCAGUGAAAGAAACCAACCGCACCCUUAACCUUUUUAUGUUCAUUGAAAUUAUGGGAAGCAAAUAUAUUUUUUAUGUCGAACUCCCAUUCAAUAUAUAAAGCAGGUUUAAAACGGCCAUUAAAUGGUGGUAUAGAUACAUUAACCUGAUCAUGUGCAUUUGGAUGUUUGUGCACCUCUCGUGACGGUUGUGGUAUUUGCAAAGGUGGUGGCACGUCUCCCGCGAUCGACAAAGCCCAUGAAUUGACUCUGGAUCCUGUCAUGAUUAGUAGAACAAGAAACAAAACCCAAAAAUAAUGUUCCUAUAACUACUAGGAUGUGGUGGUAAAACGCUCACAGUAAAGCAAAUAUCAAUGUCUUACAAGUUCUUACCAUGCAGCAGGCGGUGAUCAGCAACCAGCGGUGUCAAGUAACUCCGAAUAUUGAGUAAAGCGAUUGCCAGGGGAGCGUACGUAUACACGAUGUAGAAAUAUGUGGAGCUGGGUUGGCUAUAUAUGGUAGCAAAAGAUUAGCAAUAAUCAAUUCAAAGAUGCAAUGUUGAAUAAACGCUCAACGACGGUACUGUGCUGGUCCUAGGCUAGACCGGACUAGAGACGCGAGCCUAGAACACUAAUGAGGUCACGGCGUAGCACAACUAGCAUCAAUGAAGGAUACUAAGUAGCUCUUGACAGCAAGAUAUAAGUGAAGAUCACAACGGCAGUGAAGAUAAUGAUGAAAAACAACUGCCAAGCAGGAUAUACAACAACUCUCUCUCCAACUUUCCUCUUGAAAAGUUUGAGACAAUUUUCUGAUAAAUUCUUUCAAAGAAUGCUACUAACUCAAGCUUUCCAAUGCAAAAGAAUCACUCAAUUCCGAGUUGAUAUGAGAAGUCAAAGAAUUUUAAAACUGGCCUGAAAAAUUGGAACAAGUUGUGUUCACGAACUUCGGAGGGCAAAAAGACCUAUUUAGAAGCCGAUUUUGAGGUGUCAAAUAUUGAACUAGCUUCUGCAACUAUUUAGAUGCGGCUCGUCGCUAUCUUCAAUUUGAGUACUCACGGAGCCAAAACUGACUUCGUAUGAGGAAGAUAUACCUGUUUUACUGAACAGUGCGCAAAACAGAUUCCAAUCCGAAUUCAGGUACGAGAUUGAUUCUAGAUAGAUCCGAUUUUUUUCUUCUUCUCUCUUUUUUUCCUCACGCUUUUUUUUUCUUUUUCUUCUCUCUCUUUUUCUUUUUUUUUCUUUCCCUUUUUUCUCUCUUUUUUCUCUCUUUUUUUUCUCCCUCUUUCCAAGACAAACUAGAUAAGAUGCAGAUUGGAUCAGGCAAAGAUGUGAAUGACCUCAACUAUGAUUAUGACAAUGAACAACGCGUAGCAUGUGGUGGAAAUUAAUAGAUGGGAUGGUGGACAGCGGAAGGGAUAAUGAUGCAGCAGCGGCGUGACUAAUGUGAACAGAACUCGAAACUCUAAACGAACUAGACACUAAGACCAGCAACUGACACGACGAUGCAACCGAUAAUUCAACUAUG
Molecule: long non-coding RNA, 70978 nt
Filed under: Triticum aestivum (bread wheat)
Lineage: Eukaryota; Viridiplantae; Streptophyta; Magnoliopsida; Poales; Poaceae
Description: long non-coding RNA (TAES_LNC011895)
Source: RNAcentral